UACUAUUCACGUAUACGACACUAUUCACGUAUACGACACUAUUCACGAAUACGGCACUAUUCAUCGAAAAAUAAAAAUUUUUCCUUUUCGUCUAAAAUAUCUAUUGUGGAUACUAGCUUUGAUUGUAUCCAUGUUUUGAUCAUUCUUGAAUUUUACACCACUAUGAUUAUUUUUGAGGUAUUUUUGGACAUGGAUAAAACAAAGUACGAAUCCUUAAUCCUUAAUCCUUGUCAUUUUGUUUCACUGGAUUCGUUUCUUUAAAAAUAUUUUUCAUCAUCCUCAGUCUUAAAUGAUGAUAUUAAUGAAUAUCUUUGGCCUGUAGUGCAAAGAUGAAUGAUUUCUGAUGAAUAUCUUUGGCCCGUAGUGCAAAGAUGAACAGGUGUUUAGAUGAACAUGACCAACUGGUGAAUAUCUUUGGCCUGUAGUGCAAAGAUGAAUAUUUGAUUUAUGAUGUAUAUUGAUUGAUGUUACAGGGAUAAAAUAUCGAUGAUGGACUUUUAAAUUCAUAGAUGAUAGUAGAUUUCAUUCUCUACUUAACUCUUCUAAUGAAUUGUUGUUUCCGCUGCAGUUGUUGAUCUAAAACUUGUUGUCUAUUGUAUUCUAUCAGAUUUUUCCCUGUUGAAGACUAAGAAUAAUUUGUUGUACAUUAUCUUAGUCAUAAUAUUCUUUACUGGGCUAGUUGAGCUCACCCUUUUUCUUGUUGUUCUAUUUUUCUUCUCAGGAGACGAGAAUGUAGCAAGUACGAGUCGGGGGAUGUAAUGAUGGUUCUAGAGAGAGUUGUUUAGUAGUCCUCACCAUUUUUAUAAAAUAAUGUAUUAAUAAUUAUGAUGGGGAUUUAUUUGCGUGUGGAUAUUGUCUAGAAGGCAAUAUUUAUAUUUAAACUCACAGUUUUAUGUUGUAUUAAUAAAGAUGUAGUUGUUUCUAUACCAUGUAAUUGGCGACUCAGAAUGGGUUGGAUGGAAUGAACCUAUUUUGGGGUUGUCACAAGUAAAGCCAAGUGAAUUGAGAUAAAUAGAGUAAAUUUUUAUGAAGUAAUUGUUAUAAAUUUGGCUUAUUACAUGGACCCCCACUUACCUAUUUUUCAAAAUUAUCAGUAAAAAUGUAUCUCAGUUUCGUUUUAUUACUUAUAUAUAUAUAGAUAUAUAAGUUUUAUAUGUUAUAUAUAUAUGUGUGUGUGUGUGUGUAUGUGAUCCGUGGGUGAAUAUAUAUUUAUAUAUAUAUUAUAAGUUUUUUUUAUUAGAAAAUUAUAUUGUGCAUAGUACUGCAUAGUGCAUCAUAGUAAAAUCAAAAAUUUUUAAAAGUUUCGUCUGUGAACAAAGUUCGCCCGUGAAUUUUUUUUUCCUACUAUGCAGCCCGUGAUUUUAUUUUCUAAAUAGUAUCCUAUCAUUCUCCUAUAAAUAGGAUGCUUAGUUUAGAAAUAAAAAUCACACCAGAAUCAGAAAAUUCUUCUUCUAUAAUAUAUAUUGAGCGUAUUUUUUUUGAGUUUAAGAAAGAUUUGAAUGUAAAAAACAGUUUAACUUUUCUUCAAGAAUAUCCUCGUUAUACCAUUCAGAAGUACUCUCCUUUCUAAGGUAAGGGAUAUUAUUUUGUUCAGUAUUCGUAAGAAAUAAUAUUUUCUUUCAUAUUCUGUAGUAUGUAAGUAAUAUUAUUUCAUUUCAUAUUCUUAAUUCUGCACUUAUGUUGAUAAAUAUUACUUCUAUAGUCCUUGAAAAUAGUAGAAUAUCCUUGAAAUUUGCGCUUCAUCUAGUAUCUUUUUCACAUAAAUAUUAUUCCAAUCAUUCUUGAUAAUUUUUAAUCUUUUCAUGUUGGGGUACUAUUCACGGGAUAUUAUUCCUGAAGUACUAUUCACGGGGUACUAUUCACUCGGGCACUAUUCACCUGGGGUACUAUUCAUGAUAAAAAUUAAUUUCUUUUAUGUCUAAAUUAUUUUUGAGACAUUAAUAUUAUUCUUGAAUUUUACUCCACAAAGCAGUUAUCAUGAUGACAAUUUGGACAUUCUUGAACUCUGGAUAAAUUAAAUUUUAAAUAUUUAAAAUUUAUCCUUGUUUUCACUUAAUUGAAUUCUUAUAUCAUUGUCAUCAUCAUCAUGCUUAUAUUGUAAUGAAAGUCAUCUUUGGCCCGUAAUGCAUAGAUGGACUAUUGAUUGGUAUGAUUCUGACUAUGAAUCGAUAUAAUCAUGACCUGUAAUGUUAAAAGUGAUGUGAUAAAAGUCCUCAUUGGCCCGUAGUGCAUUGAUGGACAGUUGUUGGUAUGAUCAUAACCAUGAGUGAUAAAAACGAAUUUAUUUGGCCCGUAGUUCAUGGAUAAUUCGUGGAUGUGAUACUAACGAUUAUCCUUGGCCCAUAGUGCAUGGAUAAUUCGAUGAUGUGGAUUAUUUAUUGAGCUGUGUUACAACGAUAAAAUAUUGAUGAUAAACUUUUAAAUCAUAGAAGAUAGUAGAUAUCAUGCUCUACUUGACUCUUCUAAUGGAUUGUUUGUUCCGCUGCAGUUAAACUUGAUGUCUAUUGUGUUCUAUCAGUUUAACACUGUUGAAAGCUAACGAUAAUUUAUUCUGCAUUAUCUUAGUCAUAAUAUUCUUUACUUGGCUAGUUGAGCUCACCCUUUACUUUCACUGUUCUCUUCAACAAAUGAGGAUAUAGUAGUCCUCACUAUUCUAUGAAAUAGUGUGAUAAUAAAUAUAAUGAGGAUUUCAUUUGAGUUUGGAUAUUGUCUACAAAUAUUCGUGUUAAAACUUUCAGCUACGUUUUGUCGUAUUGUAUAAACGAAGUUUGUAUUUAAAUUUUGUACCAUGUAUUUGACGACUCAAAAUUGGUUGUGUAUAACUAUUUUGGGAGCGUCACACACACACAUACACACACACACACACACACACACAUAUAUAUAUAUAUAUAUAUAUAUAUAUAUAUAUGUGUGUGUGUGUGUGUGUGUGUGUGUGUGGAAAAUGGAGUAUGUGUCUUAGACACGUAAACUUGUGUGUUUGGCGCCUAAUACGACAUAGUUUUAAUUGAUAAAUUGGUGAAAUCUCAAAAUAAUUAUUAAUGAAAAUUAUGAAAUAGCAAAAACACUAUUAAUUAUAUAUAUAUAUAUAUAUAUAUAUUUAUAUAUGUGUGUGUGUGUGUGUGUGUGUGUGUAUUAAUGUAUAUGUCAUUGGUUGAGGACAUCAACUUGGUCCACAAACCCAUUUGACAUCAUGGCCAGACGAGGAAAAAUAACAUAGAUAUUGGCCAACUGGAACCCCUCCUUCCCAACAUCAAGAAAAUGCACUCGAUGUUUAUGCAUCAUGCAUGUCUCAAAUCAGCACUUUCUGAUUGGCUACCUCCACCUAAUAUACUUUUUCUUUUUAAAGUCUGAGAAAUUAAACCUUAUGUUUCUACCCUAGUUUAGAUCAAGGAAAAAGGAUUACUAUUGUUUUUUUACCAACUUUUUGUCCUUAUGGGAGCAGGCUGAAAAUUAGGAGAAAAGUGAGACGUAAGAAACGGGGCAUAAUUUACCUAUGGUCAAAUUUACUUACAAAUGUAAGUGUAUUAAUUAUAAGUUUUUAAUACAUGACUUGAUUAAUUGAAUAAAAGGUGCAUGAAAUUUUAUGUUAUAGCAACUUGAUUUUAGUCUCACUUUAAUAGUUUAAUUCGUUUUGAAUUGAUGAUAGAAAGAGGAACAAAUACAAUUCAUCAUUUGACUAGCUUAUAACUUGAAAUUGUCAAAGCUAUACCAAAAUAUACCAUGCAUGCAUAAAUUACUAGUAAAUUUAGUAUUUCAAUAAGAUUUUUGUCAAACUACUAACAUAUAAGUGGGUCUCACAAGUACGAGAGAACACAUUUUAAGCCGAUAAAAUCUAAAGCUAAAGUACGGUAACCUUUAGUUCUCAACUUCAUGAGUUAACUUCGAUCAAUUAAUCAAUACAAUGUCAACACGUAUAAUAGAAGGUGAUUUUUCUCUGCGUGUCAGUAUUGUAUUGGCCAAUUAAUCAACUUACCAUGAAGUUAACUUUACGGUAAUCGAAUCCCUUAUUUUUAAGCGAUUUUCCACUUAACCACCUAUAGUCAGUAAAGCUACAUUUAAACACCCGACCUUUUUAGUUGAAGUGAAAAACUGCUUUCUGUCAUAACUCUGUUACUUUAAAAGAUUAAAGACUUAAUUACCCUCGUUAUAUAUAAAAGAGAGAUGCUUGUUCAUCUCUCUCUCUCUCUGUUUUUCUAAGAAACAAAAAACAGAGUAAACACCUUAAUUCCAGUAAAUACAUGAAACAUCUCCAGUUAAAACAUAAAUUAUCCUACGAUUCAUUUUCUGAGUUUGAAGAGGGCCACUUUAAUGCAGGACUGUGUAAUGAAGAGAACACAGUAAAUCAAUUACUAAUUGGAAAGAGGGAGACAUUCCUCUAAAUUGAAUUGGAAAUAGAUCAAAUUAAGAUAAGAAAACAAAAUAAAUUUCAGAAGUAGAGAAGAGGGAGUAUAUUUUAGGCAGAUAUGAAACUUCUCUGCAUAUUCAAUAUUCGAUCAUAUUAUGCAAAAAAUACACCCAUGUUCCUCUGUUCUUCACCUGAAAUGUUCCUAAGCUAAGUUGAUUUUUCCACCUGAAAUGUUCCUCUGAACAAAAAUAGCAACAACAGAUAAAGAAUUAGUAAAUUAUGCAUCUUCAACUCACAAGGUGUCAACAUAAGCCAAUUAAGAAAGAAACCAGAGUGGGAAAACAAAUUCAUUAUGCAAAAAUUACAUCAAGGUUAAUCCAAAGUGCGAGAAUAUAAAACCUCGUAUUUCAGAAAUAUUAACCACUCCACUGUCCAAAAAAUAUGAAGAACCAUACAAUUAUCCCCCAUGAGGGAACAACGCCGAAUUUAGAAGAAUCCCCCAUGAGGGAACAACGCCAAAUUUAGAAGAAUCUUUGCAGGGUGUUCCAAUUGCUCUUGAAAAUGUGGCGACUAGUAUUGAUCAGAAAUUUAAAGAUGAACAAAUGAAAAGUGAUGAACAGAAUAAAUCACAGAAAGUAUCUGAAAUUUAGCAAGUCCUUCAUCUUCUUCCAUUCGCUCAACGAAAAGAAGCCUCGGCAGAAUUUAGCAGGCACAUCCAAGCAACAAUAGUUGAAUUACUUGGAGAGCUUGUGAUUGGAGAAGUAAGCAACUCUCUUAGGAGAAGAAAGAUGUUGGAUUCUGAAGAGAGCAAUAGAGAUUCUGUUUCUACAGAGAUGAUGAUAUCUAGAAGCAAGGCUCCUUGGGUUAAAAUUCAAGAGCAGCCAUCACAAAGGGAGGUUUCAAAUACGGAUUCUCCAUCAUUUGGGAUUGACGCAGGAAGGAGGCAAGGGUGAAGAGGCGAGCAUGGUAAUUACAACACCAGUGAGGCGAUCAAGCAGAAUCCGUAGCCGUGGUGCCAUGUCUCCCAUCUGGCUCAACUCCAAAAUCCAUUGUAGAUGAAGAAACCUGUAACUUCUCCCAUCGGCUUCAAUUUCCACGCCAUCGCCACCACCACCACCUCUCGAUUUUUCCGAUUAUCACCGCGAUUAUAUGUUUUGAUUCAAGGUACUCAUAUAUUCUCCAUCUCUUGAUCUCGAUUUAGAGAUUCUCCAUCUCUUGAUCUCGAUUUAGGGAUAAACCCAAAAUUCGAUUUAGGGAUAAAUGAGAGAGAGAGAGAAUGAGAAUGCAGGAGUCAGAAAUGAGGGAGAAUACUGUGGUUUGAGUAAGAAGGCUAUUUUAGACAUUUUCUAGUUUUUUUUUACCGUUACACUUCUUAUCACGUGUUUUUUGGCGUCUGACAUGCACGCUCGGUUAAUUUGGAUGGAAAAGGUAACGGUUUCACUUCACCUCAAAAGGUCGGGUGUUUAAAUGUAGUUUUACUGACUAUAAGUGGUUAAGUGGGAAACCGCUUAAACCCCAGGUGGUCAUCUGAACUUAACCCUUUUUAUAAUUCUAACUGUUGGGUCAUGAUAUUUCCUUUAUUUGGGCCGGGUGAAUUGGGUUCACUUAUUAAUUUAAUCCAUUGGGCUUUUAUAAUUAAGCCAUAAGGCUCGUUGGGCCUGGUCACUGUGUUAGCUUUAUUUAAUCCUAUAAGAUCGGGUCGGUUCGUUGGAUUAACCUGUUGGAUCAUUUAAUAUCUAUUACUUUGACUUGUAAUGAUGGUAUAGUAUGACAGUUGACUGAGUUACCUGCCAUGCAUUAAUGUGGAUGGGAUUAUAGCCGGUCGGCGGCAUAAACAGUGACCAAAAGUAGUGGGUAGAUUGCAGGCAGACGGAAGGACCCAUCAGAUCAUGGGGGUCGUGUCAGGAGUAGUGGGUGGCACGGUAAAUCGGGAAAAGAGAGUGUAAUCUAUCAACUAAGUCUUCACAAGGAGGUACGUUUUUCAUAUAUCCAUACACACACAACUGAGAAUUAUCAUCUCUCUCAUUACACUAGAUAUCAUCAUCCUCUAUGGUUAACCUUGUGAACACAUAUACUUACUCUCACACCUGAGCUAUCCCCCGGCGGUCCGGCCGUCAAGCUUGUGGUGUUUGUCGUGUUUACUAUGCAGGAUCAGGACGUCUUUCGUGAUUGGGACGUGAAGAAAGAUCCUGGCGUUAACAUUGGCGCUAGAAGGAGGGGAGUUUUAGUGUCUUGAGUAUUUUUCAAUCACAGAUUGUGUUUUAUUCUAUUCAGUAUUCAUGGUGAAGAGUAGAACACCUACACCUGAAGGGCAGCCGAUGGCUGUCAGUGAAUCAGCACCGCGAGUGUCUGCCAAAGAUCGUUUGGGACCUACAAUAAGUGUUCACGCUAGCACAGCAUCCAAACGUUCACCUGAAGAUUCUCGGCCGAGGGAGGUAGGCAAAGCUAAGUGUAAGCUAGUCUUUCCGAUGAAGAAGGGGUCUGGCCAUGGUCGGAAACGAGUAGAAGGCACCUCGCAAAGGCACCUCGAUACCGAGAUGACCAGGACGCAAAGGCCUCCCGGUUGGCUAAGAUGGCAGAUGAAGCGGAUAGAGCUAUGGAAGUACUCGUGAAGCAGCGUCAGGAUAUAGCUGAGCAGAUGGCUCGUAUGGCAGAGUUGAGAGCUGAAGAGCUCAAUUAUGUUCAAUCCGAAGAGCAAGGGCAUCGGAGUGGGAAGAAACCUGCUCAUUCAGGGCGAGAGUCUCUGGGCCGAACCAGAGAAAGAAGAAGAUCCCGAAGCCCUACUCCUCAGAGAUCAAAGAUAACCCCACUCCCUGCCGAUUCUAGAGGACAGAGGCGAAUCGAACGAAGAGGUCGAUCUAAAGAUCGCACUUCUGAGCAUACAAGGAAAGCACUUGUUGUUGCACAUUCUCACCAUUGCGCCCGAGUUCAAAGACGAAGUAUAUCAAGAGGACAUACUCCCGAGAGUCUACUGAGGGUACACCGCCCUGUAGACACUCGUCAUCGAAAGAGUCCCUCUAAAGUUGAGGAUUCUAUUGAAAGAAAUUGGUCUACUCAGAAGAGGAAGGAGUCACCAGAAAAGGAGGCAUCAUCUCAACCAGAAGGCAUGGAGUAUCUGGUUAAAGAAUUAAAGGAGCUUAGAAAGCAGCUUGCCGAAGUACAGAAAACAAAAGACACUCUGGGAAAGAAGGCAUCCCCUUUUUCUGCGGAGAUUCUUAAAGAAAAAGCUGAUCCCAACAAGAAGUUGCCCCAUAUCGAGAGUUAUGAUGGAUCGGGGGAUCCUUAUGACCAUAGUCAGGCGUUCGACCGACUCAUGGAUUAUUAUGACUUUAGCGAUGCUGCUAAAUGCCAUACUUUUGUCACAACACUCAGAAAGGAUGCCCGGCAAUGGAUGAGGACCUUACCCUCGGAUUCAAUCUCAUCUUGGGAAGAUAUGUGCAGUAAAUUUCAUGCUCGCUUUGGGAGCAACAGAAGAAGGGGAAAACCAACUGGUUCGUUGGCUCAAGUUCGCCAGUUUUCUAAUGAUUCUUUGGGUCAGUAUGUGAAGCGGUUUCGUGAAGCAGUCGGCCAAGUGGAAGACCUGAACGAUCUACAAGCUGUGAGACUGUUUCAGAAUGGGUUAGAUUUGGUCAAAUCGAAAAAGUUGGUGAAAAAACUAAUGUUCAACCAUCCGAAGAGUCUUGCUGAAGCCUUUGACAAAGUCGAAGGCUAUAUCGUGGUGGAGGAAGCCAUGAGCAGCCUCAAACGUCCUUCUUCGGACUGGCUUAAGGAGACAGAUCGGGAUAAAACCGAUGGAGACCAGAAGAAGAAUAAAGGGAGUAAAGACCGUUAUGAGGGCGGGUCGAAGAGAUAUAAUAAUUGGAAACAGGGUGGAGGACGUUCGUUCGCUCCAGCCCAGAGAGUGAAUAGGACGUACACGGUACUCAAUGCAGACAGGGCUGUUAUCUUGGAUCAGAUUAAAAAUCAACCUAUCUUCGAGCCACCUAGAGAUAACAUUAAGCCCGGAAAAGGGAAUCCUCGCAAAUAUUGUGAUUACCAUCAAGCUUCGGGUCACGAUACUGACGAUUGUGCCAGUUUAAAAGACUUCAUUGAAAGAAAGGUACAAGGUGGGGCUUUAGUUCAGUAUGUGGCUGCCAGAACUAAUCAACAGCAGGACCGAUGACCUGUUUCGGCAGCUCAACCAGUUCAGCAAGCGUUGCCAGCUCCGGGACAGCCUGCAAGGCAUGUGAUAGAUGUCAUCACUGGGGGUACUUCUGGUAAGCUCGUGGGAAAAAAGCACCGAAGCCAUUUGGAUUCGGUCAUGUCGGUGGCGGGUACCUUCCCGAAGACUGAUAGACCUUAUCUGAAUGCGGUAAUCUCCUUUACUGAUGAGGAUUAUCCUUCAGAAGUCAUCAAACCGCACGAGGGAUCAUUAGUGCUGACCGCACAAGUGGGUUCGGUGGAUAUGAAGCGGAUGAUGGUAGAUUAUGGGUCUUCUGUGGACAUCCUGUAUGCCCACGCUUAUCAAAGGAUGAAUCUAGAUGGGCGCAAGAUGGAAAUAGGGCAGGAGGCUCCUCUGUAUGGUUUUAGCAAUGAUCCGGUUAAGGUGGCUGGAACCAUUGAGCUACCGGUUAUCUUCGGAACGGCCCCUCAACAGGUAGAAAUUAUUUACAAAUUUUAUGUUGUGCAUGUUGAUUCUGCUUAUAAUGCUAUUCUGUGGAGGCCUACUUUAAUUGCUUUGCAAGCUGUAACAUCAAUACCUCAUUUUAAAAUCAAAUUUCCUACGGCUCAUGGGGUUGGGGAGGUGAAAGGAGAUUUGGAUCUGGCCAGAAGGUGUUACAGAAAUGUUGUGAUCACUUCGGGAGUGGGGGUAUCGAAGCAGAAGUAGACCAUGACGAUAGAAAUCGAACCCUUCACUAAGAGUAGUUCCUAGCCAUUAGUCAUGCCAGCUGAAGAGACAGAGGAGAUAGAGCUCAUCCCGGGCAAGGUAGACAAAACAGUGAAAAUAGGUUCGGGUCUACCAGAACCUUUCCGGACGAACCUCAUGGAGCUCCUGAGGUGCUAUGUUGACAUCUUCGCAUGGGAACCUCAGGAUAUGCCAGGAGUAAGCAGAGAUAUUGCUGAGCAUCGAUUGAAAGUAGACCCGUCAAAGAAACCAAUCCGGCAGAAGAGGAGGAUCUUUGCACCCGAACGUCAGCGGAUCAUAGAUGAAGAGAUUGCAAAACUGUUGGCAGCUGACUUCAUCUUUGAGAUUGAUUACCCGCAGUGGAUGGCAAAUGUGGUGCUGGUCCAAAAACAGAAUGGUAAAUGGCGAGUCUGCAUCGACUAUACUGAUCUGAACAAGGCUUGCCCGAAGGAUUUCUACCCACUACCCCACAUUGAUUAACUCAUUGAUGCCACUUCGGGGUACGCUUUAUUAAGUUUUAUGGAUGCAUUCUCUGGGUAUCAUCAGAUCUCCAUGUGUAAAGAGGAUAUACCGAAGACGGCGUUCAUUACGCAUCGUUCGGUAUAUGCCUAUAAGAAAAUGACUUUCGGCCUCAUCAAUGCCGGAUCCACCUACCAGAGGAUGAUGAACCAUGUCUUCAGAUAUCAGUUGGGCAGGAGUAUUGAGGUGUACGUGGAUGACAUGAUUGUCAAAAGCAUGUUGGUGCAUAAACAUUUGGAUGAUUUAGAGGAAUGCUUUCAGAUAAUUCGCCAUCACAACUUGAGAUUGAACCCCAUUAAGUGCACCUUCGCUCUAGGGGCUGGCAAAUUUCUGGGGUAUCUUGUCAGUCAAAGGGGAAUUGAAGCCAAUCCAGAGAAGAUUCAAGCGAUCCUGAACAUGAAGACUCCUCAGUCAUUUAAAGAUGUUCAACGUCUGACUGGAAGGAUUGCAGCUCUAAGGAGGUUCAUGUCCAAGUCUGCGGAAAGAUGUUUGCCGUUUUUUGAUACGUUGAAAGGGCCGAAGAAUGCAAAGACGUUCCAAUGGACUUCGGAGUGUGAAGACGCCUUUCAGAGCAUCAAGUCCUACUUAUCUUCGGCACCUUUGCUGGUGAAGCCCGCUCCUGUCGAGCCUCUAUAUUUUUACUUAGCAGCUAGCUCGUUGGCAGUAGGAGCAGUUUUGGUGCGUGAAGUUGGGGGUAAGAAGCACCCGGUUUACUAUAUAAGCCAUGUCCUUCGGGAUGCUGAAACAAGGUACCCAAACAUUGAAAAGUUUGCUUUUGCUUUAAUAACUACUAGUCGAAAGCUUAGGCAAUACUUCCAGGGUAGAUUGGUAAUAGUAUACACAGAUCAGCCAUUAAAGAAGAUUAUGAGCAAACCGGAGGUAUCGGGGAGACUAGCUGCAUGGACGAUGGAGUUGUCUCAAUUUUUUAUUAAAUAUCGUCCCCGAACCGCCAUCAAAGGUCAAGCCUUGGCUGAUUUUGUGGUUGAAUGCUCGUUUUCUGAAGCUGAUGAAGUCGUGGCCGAGGCUGAAGGAUCUGACAGGGCAGUUACAGUUCUUCAGCAGAAAGAGAGUUCAUGGACGCUGUAUGCAGAUGGGUCUUCUACUACGGACAUCAGUGGAGCAGGGAUUAUUCUGACGAGUCCGGAGAGAUUCAAGGUCCAGCAGGCCAUCAGAUUUCAGUUUAAAGCGACGAAUAAUGAAGUAGAGUAUGAGGCGGUACUUGCAGGGUUACGAUUAGCAAAGAGUAUUGAAGUGCAGAGAAUAGUCAUCUUCAGUGAUUCUCAGUUAGUCGUUAAACAACUCUCUGGGGAGUACGAAGCUUGAGGCCCGAGAAUGAUCAAGUAUUUAACAGAAGUGAAAGAACGGCUCCAGUAUUUCCAGUCCUACGAGUUUCAGGGGGUUAAGCGUAAUAACAAUUCCAUUGUCGAUGUACUCUCCAAACUAGCCACUACGGAUGUUAACAUCUUUGAUGGAUCGGUUUACCUAGAAAUUUUGCAACAUCCUAGUGUUCAUCAUGAAGUGGUAAUGUGCGUUGACCGAACCAACUGCUGGUUAACUCCAUACCUGGAAUAUCUGGCAGAUGGCGUCUUACCUUCGGAUCGGAUGCUAGCCAAGAAAGUCAAGUACAAGAGUGCUAAUUUCGUUCUAAUUGAUGGGGAUCUUUUUUAAAGGGCCUUCUCCUCUCCACUAUUGAAAUGUUUGACUCCAUCUGAAGCUGAAUACGCUCUCCAAGAAGUACAUGAAGGCAUCUGUGGCGACCAUAUGGCCGCUAAGUCAUUAGCCUAUAAAGUACUUCGUCAAGGAUACUACUGGCCUACCAUCUUCAAGGAAGCGACUGAAUACGUCAAGAAGUGCGAGAAGUGUCAACUCAACAGUCCAAUACCGCAUCAGCCACCAGAAGAGCUAUACUCGAUCUUAUCUCCUAUACCCUUCGCUGUCUGGGGGGUUGAUAUAUUGGGUCCGUUACCAAAAGCAAAAGGUCAAGUCAGUUUUGUUAUAGUUGCCAUCGACUUUAUGACCAAAUGGGUAGAAGCAAAGCCACUUAGGUCAAUAACGGAACAGGAGUACUUGAAAUUUUUGAAAGAGUCAGUAGUAUUCCGUUUUGGAAUUCCUAAGGUGGUAAUAUCGGACAAUGGACGUCAGUUUGUUGGGUCAAAAUUUGAAGCAUUUUUGAAAGAACUGGGGAUUCAGCACAAAAAGACUUCAGUAGCUCAUCCUCAGUCAAACGGACAGGUUGAAGUGACCAACAGAACGCUGCUGAAUGGGAUCAAGCGCAGAUUGGACGAAGCUAAGGGCAGAUGGCCAGAAGAGCUGCUUAGUGUGAUAUGGGCUUAUCGGAUUACUCCGAGGACUACAACAGGGGAUUCACCUUUCAAAUUGGCCUAUGGUACUGAUGUCUUAGUCCCAAUUGAAAUUGGAUCUCCAAGUCUUCGAGUUAGUCAAUUCAGAGAGAUUUACAAUGAAGAAGGGCUGAAGGCCAAUCUUGAUUUGCUUGAAGAGGUCAGAGAAAUAGCCUUAAUCAAAUUGGCAGCCUAUCAACGAAGAGUAGCUAAACAUUAUAAUAAGGGGGUAAAGCUUCGCAGAUUUGAAGUAGGAGAUUUUGUCCUCAGAGAGUCGAAGCAUCUACACCUCAGAAUUUGGGAAAACUGGUGCCAAAUUGGGAAGGACCGUACAAAAUCACUGAAGUGCCGAAACCGGGGACUUAUCGGUUGAAGGCAUUAGACGGGUCAGUAAUUAAAAUACUUGGCACGCUGGCAGGCUUAGGAAGUACUUUCAAUAAAUUCAAUGUCAGUACAUCAGAAGUCUGUAAAUGUUUACAUCAUCAUCAAUAAAAAUUCCUUUUUUCUCUAAAAACAAAUUCGGUCUCCGUUACUGAUCAGUUCAAUGGUGUUUGGAGGUUCGGGAGGACUCGCUGACCAUUCGAUGGUAGCCUCUUCGGCAGGUGGUCACUUAGACCUUUUUAGGACCUUCGUGGUAGGCAAGUGUCAUCUCUAAGGCAUUGUCAGGCCCUUCGUGGUAGGCAAUUGUCAUCACUUAGACCUUGUCAGGCCCUUCGUGGUAGGCAAGUGUCAUUUCUAAGGCAUUGUCAGGCCCUUCGUGGUAGGCAAUUGUCGUCACUUAAUUAAUAGUUCGGGUUGAGUCCAUGAAAAAGCUUGUACAUGUUUCCAGUUGAAUUAAUAUUGAAGUAUUGACAGAAAGUAAAUGCACCGAAGUCAUAAGAGACGAAAUCACAUUUCAUUGAUAUUUAAAUUUGAUUACAAAAUUAGAAAACUUUUAUACAAAUCCUAAAAAAUUGAAUAAAGGGGAAAUCAUCUUCAGACAGCGGCUUCAUCUUCGGAGUCUAGCAAGGAUGGAUCCAGUUGGGCUGCCUCCAGCUUCUCCUUGCCACGACUCCGGCAGAGCUCAUAGCUUUCAGAAUAUAUUUUCAUGAUCUCUUCGUUUAUUUCAUCCGAGUUCCGAUACUCUUCGCAGAUCUGUUUGCGAAGGUUAUCGGUUAGAGGCGGCCCAAUGUCCCGAAGAGCCUUGAGUUCUCGGAUUUCUUCUUCAAGUUUUAUGCGCAGAUCCAGAUGACGAAUUUCAUCUGACUCCAGUUUUCUGAUGGUUUUAGUCAAGAUCGUGGCAUUAGCCUUCAGCUCGUUGAUCUUGUCCAUCCUUAUUUCGCUCCUCUGAACCAAGUUAACAUUCAUCUUCACAAUCUCUUCAUAUUGUGCUUUAGUAGACUUCAGUUCUUCAUUGGAGGUCUUCACGUCUUCCUUGGCUUGGGCCAACUCUUUCUGAAGUCCUUCAUUUGUAUGAAGGAUGCCUUCACAUUGGGUCCUUUCCCGAGCCAAAGCAGACUUUAGGAUGGCGUUCUCCUUCCUCAAGGCCUCUUCUUCGGAUUCAGCCUCGAGGGACCUCGGACGCAGACGCCCGAAUACAGCAUUUGCCUAUACAUGUUCAAUAUUAUUUGAUCAGUUUCAGAUGUAUAAGUACGAAGAUAAAUACGGAAAUAAAGGAAAUAUCAUUUACCUUCGCCAAGUAGCUCAUGCCUUCGCUAAGUAGAUCUCCGUUCGAACUAUUCCCGAAUCGAUGAUCAUCGGUCUCACGAACGAAGGCCUCGAACAGUUGAAAGGGGAAGUUGGCAUUGAAUCGAGGCCACAUGGUUGGAGAGGCCAUGGCGUCAUGCUGAAAUUCGGUGGUCGUUUGUCUUGGGGGAGAGGGCAUAGGUUGAUUGCGAAUCGGCGAAGGAUCCGCAUGUACCGUUUCUGGAGAAGGAGACUGGGCAGGAAUGGGUUCGGGUGUCGAGGAAGGAGCAGAGGUUGAACCUGGCUGGCUGUCUGAAGGUUGUUUUCUUUUUCGGGAUAAUGUGGGGACAGAUUCAUCCAGCUCAGCAUCAGGUGUUCGAGUUUCGGUUGGAACUAUCGGGGGGUUAACCGUUGAAGACGAUGGAACUCGGAGCUCUUCGGCAGUGAGUGGGGUUAUCUUUGAUCUUAUCUUUUUAGCGCGGAGAACUCUCGCCCGAUCUUGCAGAGGUAUGUCAAGUAUGCUCCUCUGAAUUGGAGCUGAUUCGAAAGGUGUAAUAACAGGGUUUGGUGUAGGAGUUGCUUGUGGGGUUGCUUCGAGAAGUAUUUCCGGGUCGCUUUCGGGAGUAAUUUUCGGUCGGGUGAAUUUGGCUUUCUUGGCAGUUUUCUUUCUUCGGCGAGGUCUGAGAGAUUCUUCGGGAAUGAGAGGUUCAUCAGCUUCGGGCUCAUCAUUCUAAAGAAGAUUGAUUAGUGGAUCGGUGGUGGGGAGAUCUGCUCGGGAAGACUCUUCGAUAUGAAGCUCUUCACUCGCAUCCGUAGUCUUCCCUGCCAAGAAGUCUCCUAAUUCUUUCACUUCUGAAGAAGUUGGUUUGAUCAAAGACACUGCAAAUAACCAUAUAUUAAAACCCAUGUCACUUAAAUAUCUCAAAAAACUGUAUUACAGUGUUGUUCGAAACUUACGUUUGUGAUCAUAUAGCCAGGCUUGUUUAGUCAGAAGUGUAAAACUCCAUUCUUUUGGAGGAAUCUUCUUCAAAAAAUCUCCCAUCUCCCUUACACGCUCUUCGAGAAUAUCUCCGAAGUCAGCAGAGAUCCGAUCUGAAGUAGUCCAAUCUGGAAGAGAAGAGAUUUCUGGUCCCGUGACAAAAAAACCACUUCUCAUGCCAUCCCUUAUUGCUUGAAGGGGUACUCAUCAGGGACCUUUUCUCAAAUUUGGAAUUGGGACGAGGGGAUUGUUUUCUCAGCAUCUUGAAGCCUCGUUCUCGGGACUUACCGGCUGAGAAAAGGGUGAAGAAGAUGUCGACGGAGGGAGGAAUCCCUAAUUCAUGGCAGAAGGCAAUGAAUGCCAAGAUGUGGAUGUGGGAAUUGGGCACCAGUUGGGCGAAACCCACUCCUAUGAACCCUAGGAGGGUAACAACAAAAGCAUGAAGGGGUAGACGGAUCCCCUUUUUGAGGAACGUAGCCGGCAUGAAUUCCCAACCGUCCGGUCGCUGGUACAUUCGCUCUUCAGGAGCAGGAGCCCUUAUAGCGUAAUUAUCUGGAAUAUGAUAACAAGUCCGGAGGAUACGUAUCUCAGAUUUCGUGACAGUGGACGGAAUGUUGGCAUGAGGAAACUGUUCCCCAUCCUUGAAAAAAUCAGCAAGAGAAGGAGGGUUUGAACUCGAACCCUCUUGGUUAGGGUUGGGAUUGGGGGAAACUGUGCUCACAGGAGUCGCACGAAGAGGAGAAUUUUGGUUAGGGUUCACAGUCGCCAUUGUUGAGAUCUCGUAAGCUAGAGAGAGAAGUUCUGGGAAAGAGAAGAAAGCUCAAAGGUUCAAAGUUCAAAUUGGCAGGUAAAACUGUCAGAAUUGAUAGAGUUUAUCUUUUAUACUGACGGUUACACGGUUCACGAGGCCAGCAUUUUAAAUGAUAAUAAUGAUGAGAAUUCGAAUGGGAAGCGUCCGGAUCAAUCUUUGGACAUUUUAUCAGAUUGGGCCUCUCGGUUGGACUUCUGAUUUUUAACCUGUCCUGUUCAAUUUCAAUCCUUUAUUGACUGGGCCUUUUACUCUGGACAUUCAGCCGUUCCCCGUAUCACUUUAUGCACCAUAGUGGGUAUGUCUCAAUUACUUCCUGUUUUGGGCCUGUAGUAAAUUCUAAUAUCAUAGACCAUUUAUAGUUUUCCAUUAAACAUUCUGUUUAACAAAAAACUAGGGGGCAAUGUUGGGUCAUGAUAUUUCCUUUAUUUGGGCCGGGUGAAUUGGGCUCACUUAUUAAUUUAAUCCAUUGGGCUUUUAUAAUUAAGCCAUAAGGCUCGUUGGGUCUGUUCACUGUGUUAGCUUUAUUUAAUCCUAUAAGAUCGGGUCGGUUCGUUGGAUUAACCUGUUGGAUCAUUUAAUAUCUAUUACUUUGACUUGUAAUGAUGAUAUAGUAUGACAGUUGACUGAGUUACCUGCCAUGCAUUAAUGUGGAUGGGAUUAUAGCCGGUCGGCGGCAUAAACAGUGACCAAAAGUAGUGGGUAGAUUGCAGGCAGACGGCAGAACCCAUCAGAUCAUGGGGGCCGUGUCAGGAGUAGUGGGUGGCACGAUAAACCGAAAAAAGAGAGUGUAAUCUAUCAACUAAGUCUUCACAAGGAGGUACAUUUUUCAUAUAUCCAUACACACACAACUGAGAAUUAUCAUCUCUCUCAUUACACUAGAUAUUAUCAUCCUCUAUGGUUAACCUUGUGAACACAUAUACUUACUCUCACACCUGAGCUAUCCCCCGGCGGUCCGGCCGUCAAGCUUGUGAUGUUUGUCGUGUUUACUGUACAGAAUCAGAACGUCUUUCGUGAUUGGGACGUAAAGAAAGAUCCUGACGUUAACACUAACCUCAUAAAAUAUUCAUAUAUUCUUAUACUCCUACCUAACACCAACUGCAAGGAGUGAUGGUCACACGGUAGCUAAAGCCCGCGGGGUUUAAUUUCUCAAAUAACAAUUUCUUUUAUAAAAAUAAUUUAAUUAUAUAUAUAUAGAAAAAUAAUAUUUUUACAUAAAAAAAUAAUAUUUUUAUACGUAUUGACGUAUGUGGAACCUACUCAAUAUUCAUACAAAAGAGAGCAUGUGAAAAUAUUGUUUUUUUAAUGUAGAAAUCAAUUCUUUUUAUAUAUCGAGUAAAUUUAUAUCAAAUGAGAAUUGUAACGUGGAACAAGAACAAAAAUAUGUAUGUCCCUUACUUACACUAUGUUAUUUCAUGUAUCACAUACGUCGUUAUUUAAUAUCAACUUGUCGUUAUAUAUAAUACUCCCUCCUUCUAAUAUAUAUAUAUAUAUAAUCCGGAUCAGGUUUGGACUCCCGCAUUUUAACAAAAUUUAGAUCUUUUUUUUUAAAACAACUAAAAAAAAUAAAAAAUUAUGGAACUUGAAUUUUUACAUAAUACAGUGUUUUGGGUGUGAUUUGGAUACAUAUAUCAAAAUAUGUCUGUACAGUCCGUGCAGACUUUACAUACAUUUUUUGGUAUAGGUAUUCAAAUCACGCCCAAAACAUUAUAUUAUGGAAAAAUUUCAGUUCUAUAAUUUUAUUUUAUUUUAUUUUUUUAGUUGUUCUACAAAAAAAAUAAAAAGUAAAAAAAUUCAGGGUCCGGAUUUUGGACCUGUCCGGGAGUCCAGACAGGAUCCAUUGUGUAUAUAUAUAUAUAUAUAUAUAUAUAUAUAUAUAUAUAUUAUUUGUCAUAAUUUUUUUUUGAUUUGUCGAAAUUUAUUUGUUAUAUUUCUAUUUUAAUACUAUUUUUGACUUUAUUCUUUCAAUACUAUUCUCAUUUAAUUUUAUAUAAAAAAAAUUCAGUGAAAACACAUAAUAUACAUAAAAUAAAUAACACUAUAAAUUUUGACAUUGAAAACACAAUCACACACAUGUUUCCCUUCCGUCUCUUUUAUUUUAUUGGGUAAUUAAGAAUAAUUUUUUUUUAAUAAAUAUGUAUUUUUAAACAAAGACAAAUAAAAUUAAAAGUGAUUAAUAUUUUUCUUUAUGAGAAUCUUGACGUUGCGCAAUCCUUUUAAUUAUAUCCCGAUUAGAGAUUUUAUUAUGAUAAAAUACAAAAAAAAGAAAAGGAAAUAGGUUCACAUUUUAGGGCAAAAAAGUUAUCAAAAGUAGAGAGAGAGAGAUGCUUGUUGACUGGUUAGGCCAUUCUACAGUGGUAGAUUGCUAUAAAUAGAAGAGUUGGGCAGGGGCGAAGAACCUUGGGAAACACACCCCUGCCCUCUUCCAUACCCUAUUUUUUCCAAAACCAUCAACUUGCCUUGCCUGCCUGGUCAGCAGACUGCCCCACUUGAUAAACUCUAUUCACUGAAUCCAACCCCUCUUUUCCACUCCUUUUUCCAUAUUUAACUCCUAUCCAUUUCAUUCUUGCAAAAAUCAAUUCCAUUCAUACCAAGGAAACACACGGACCGAAACAAUACCAAAAUCAAACAUCACCAUCAAAACCUUCAUCUUCAUUCAUUCAUCCAUCAUCGAAAACCCCUUUUCUCUUACCAAAUCUCAAAAGCAUACUGACCCAUUUCUUGUAUUCUAUUUUCUUGGCCUUGUUUUCAAGUGAAAAGCCAGAAACCAAAGAAUUGAAGAGUACCCACCAAAGCCUGCAACAUCUUUAUCAACAAACUCACAGGUAAAAAAUCCACCUAAAUAUCUAGCUCUGUUACUUGUUUGAUCUUCUCUAACUGUUAAGUUUCUUGAUCCCAAAUAAUAAGCUUUGUUUUAAGAACUGGGUAUUAUUCUCCUUUUAUUAUAUUUCUUAAGUUUUUGAAUUGAUUAAGCUAACUAAGCAAAUACCACUAGGCAGUGUUAAAAUAUAAUUAAGGUCUUCAAAAGUUUGAAUCUUUAUGAGCCCUGGUAAAGUUUUGCACCAUUUAGAUUGUAAAUAGUUGCUAUAUGUGUCUCGGUGAUUAAUUGUCCAUUAAUAUAUCUUCUUGUAGUUUUUAAGGUUAAUGUAAAGAUUAUAGUGAUUCCUCAAUUUUCCCUCUCUUUCUUCCUGUCAUGUUGUGGGGCGCUUCUUGUUUAAAAAACAUUUUUAAUUAUAUGAAUUGAACAUUAUAUUUUGUACUACUGCAAUUUAAUCUGAUCUUUCAAAUUGUUAUGUAUUUUGUAACAGUUGUAUAAUUUGAGGACAAGGUGCUUGCUUAGCAUUUGAAGACAUCCCUAAAUUUGUUGACACAAAUCUAGAAUUGAAAUUUACAUUAAUCUUGGGAGUUGGGAAUAGAAUUUGUUUUGUGGCUUAGGAGUUGUAUAUUGUUCUUCCAGAUAUGGGUUUGAACCCGGUUCAUAUUCCUUGGAACCCACAUUAUAGGAUUUGUGUACUUGCAUUGGUCUGAAGGGUUUGCACAAGAUCUCUCUCUCUAUUAUUGCUUCAUCUGUAAGUCAAAGGAAUUUAUGAGAAUCGGGUGUUGAACAAGAUUUCAAUUUGUAAAUCUUGGAUUUCUUACUAGAUAGUCUUCCCAUUGCACAAUUUGUAAAUACUCCGUAAUCCGGUAUAGUCUCGGCUGCACAUCUGCUGCAAGUAUUCUGAGGUUCGCAACCCUUUUAAUUACCUCAAAAGGAUUUGAGCUAAAACUUCCAUUCCCAUUUGUUGCUUAAAUGUGAUUUGAAACCCUUGAAGCAGAACAAUUAAUAUUGCCAAAACGUUCGACUAAUCUGCAAGACCACCAUUCCAGAAGAGCAAUGAUGGAUGCAAGAACAAUGAACAAUUCCAAUUCUCCUCCAUUUCCAAGAAAGGGUCCUCAUACUACAACUACAUUUGUUGAAAGUAGAAAGAUAGAGUAUCAAAGGUCUUUCUCACAAGGGCAUGGCAGGAAAAUGUUCUCCUCCAAAAGCUAUUUUAGCUUAGAGUCAUUAUUUAUACUAAUCUGUCUGACGGCUUCGUUGCUGGUUCUGCCGCUGAUACUCCCCCCAUUACCGCCCCCGCCUUUCAUGCUGCUGCUGCUUCCGAUUUGUUUACUAGUAGUACUCGUAUUCUUAGCAUUCAUGCCCUCUAAUGUCCGAGAUGUUACUUAUGCAUAAGUGUAAAUGGGGGUGUUAAGCAGAGAGAAGCUUGCACCCCACAUUACAAUUCUUGUUUACUCUGAUUUAAAGGAAAUUACAGGUUCUUUCAUUUCUUAUUAGUUGAGUUUCAUGGCAAUGUUAUAGCACUUGUGUAGUUAUGAUAUCCAAACCAAUAUAGGGUUUGGUGCAUAGUGUUGUGACACAUUGUAAGCUCAUAUUAUCAUAUCUUAAAAUAAAAAUAUUUUCUUCUACAUUCUGUAUUCCCCCCUCGUUUAUUUUUUCCAUCGACAUUGUAACAGACUGGUAUAGUAUCUUAUGUGACCACAAUCUGAAAAGAUCAAAAAGCAGAAGCCACAGAAACUUAAGCCUUUUGCAAGAUGGCAUUAGGGUUAAUUUUACUUUAUAUUUAUUAGGAAAUUGAUAUUUUUAUGUUACUUUUUUAUAUUUACACAUUAAAUAUCGGUAUAAAUGUAUAGCGACGGUUUUUCUAUAGCUACGGCUUUCAUGUGAAAAUAUCAAAAAAAUUAUGUAUAUCAGUUUCCUAUUUAUUAUUUUCAAAAUACUUCAAUGUAAGUUGAGUUCAAUGUAUCAGCUUUCAUUUGUCCUGGCUCUGGUAAACUUGUCAAAGUUAUUGUCUUACAGUUGUACAUACAUUAUUCUUUGUAUGGAACUUUUACCAGGUGUAAUGAACCUAUAAAGAGUUAUUUUCUUACAGCUGUACAUUCAUCCUUCUUUGUAUGCAACUUUACCUGGUGUAACAAGGUUCUUGCUAAUUUAGUUGUAGAAUGAACCUGGAAGAAAAAGCAACUGGCCAAUAAUACCCCUCAUGCUGUUGAGUCUAAAGUUUACAUCUCAGAAGCCUUGGUGAAUGCUGUUAUAUAUCUUACAUAAUAGAUUUAAAAUGCAUAUGCAAUGAACAUUAGGUUACACAUUAAAAAGCAGCGAAGCCUUGAGGUACAUUUUCAAUCAACAAGCUCUAUAAAUAAGCCUUGGGAGUUCCAUCACCUUACGCCAAGGGUGAGAGACAGAAAGGAGGCAGAUGGAAUCGUAAAGAGUUCAAAAUUUUCAGACAUUAUAUAUCUUGGCUAAGCAACACUUGGCGAAUAAAGCAAAAAUGGAGGAAGAUGAUGUUCCAAAACAGCCAAAAGUUCUCUUCGCUGCCCUGCCUCUUCCAAUGUCUUGCCUCCAAGCCUUCUUGCCGCUUCCACAAGUUGUCCCCUUAGUCUUUGUGAUAACAAACAGCCACCUGCCUUGACAGAUUCUCUAUACAGCGGCAGGUAUGCUAUUGCCACCCUUAAAGGGGCUGGGAGAUCCCUCAAGCAAAUAGGAGAUUCACCCCACUUCAAAAUUCUAGUCAAGUUUAAGUAGUGCUCUUGUCCUUGUGUCAACCCAUUCAAGAAAGCUACCUCCGACCAGUGCUCCCGAAGAAAAUCCCUGAGCUGAGGAGCAACUGCCUCGUCAUCAGACCUAGAAAUGCCGUCUGCCACAGCAUAAGUAGCAGCAGGAUCUCCAAGAAAGUUAGACUGAAGGAGAAAUGCUACACCGUCAAGGGACCCACCGCUUCGUUCACCAGCAGCCUUUAGAAUCUCAAUGCUAAGAGCUGCAAGAACAUGAUGAGGGACAUGAGGAAGGAGAUAGGCAGCAAUCUCAACUUUACUGCUGGAAGUGGCAGCUGUGAGAGCUAGACAAAGUUCCAUGUCUCGGCUGCCUCUCUUCACAAACCACUGAACAACCUGUAGGCAACCCCUCUCAGCAGCUCUCAUUAAGGGACCCAAGAAAGCCAUCGCAUUCCCUUCUUCAACUAGACAUUCCAUAGUUCCAAUCUUGCCAUAAUGGGAAGCGAAGCCCAAAGCCAGAUCAACAUCAACAUCCAAGCUGUUCCUUUGAGCAAUCUACAAAAAUGCAUCCCAAAUAGCCAAAACAAACAUAAGCAGUAUUGCUACAGAACUUGAGCCUAAAAACAGUAGGAAAUCAAAUACGGGGAAAAGGAGCAGAUGCGUUUCAGAUUUGAUAAAUAUAACUUCUUCAUGUAUUCAAAUAACAAGACCAGGGGAUUUAAGUUAUUUCCCUUGUAAUUUACUCUAUAAUGCAAAAUAAAUAGUCAACAAGAAAGUCAGUAUUAUGCUUUCAACAUCCCUCUCAUUUUGGAUGGUACUAAUUUUCCAUGAAUGUGAAAAAGAAAUUAAUAUGAAUUAUUAAUAAACGAGGAAAGAGUUUCAUCUCUUUAUAUCACCCUUAUCAAUAAGGCAAGCCAACAAGUAAAUAUUAUGAAACCGGAUCAGUUUACCUAGACUGAGUUCAGUCCCAUUUCCUAGGUUUUCUAUAUUGUUGUGUUUUGCUAUUUUCCGCUCAAAAGUACCAAUGCCCCAACUAUGGAGAAUAUAAAUCAAUCAAGGUACAUGCUGAAUGCAAAAAAAAAAAAUUGAUUUAAGUUGCGGCAACUAAGAUGACCAAACCGAAGUACCACUAGACUUCGCGUUGCGGCGCAGGACAUGUUUGGCAGAAGAAUGAUGCAUAGGGAGAAGAUAACCGAGCACAAUGACAAAAUACAGUUCAAGAACGAUUUCCAAAAUUAUCCAUCAACUUAAAAGCCAACCAAUAUUUACCACUGUUCAUCCAAGGUUCUAAUUGACUUUCAAAGAAAAAACAUAACAAACGACUUUAUAAUGGCCAUGGUAAGUUACUUUACCUGUAACAAGAUGCGAACAAGCUCUGUGCUUCCAAAACGAGAGGCUUCGAGAAAACAUUGGUUGACAUUGUCUGCACCGCCCUCUACCAAUAUGCCCAGCAACCCUUGGAUUGCAGUUGCUGAUAUACCUGAUGCCCAACCAGGAUCAAAUGAACUAGAGAAAAGGGUAAGGGGAAAACAAGCUGCAUCAAAGGCCUCCGUAAAGUCCUUUCCUGUAAGAUGGUUGCCAGCAAGAUCCAGAAAUGACUUGAAUGCAGAUAACUGCAGUUGAAUCUGGACAGCCGAGUUCUGAUUGAUGCCAUCCCUAUUCCCUUGACAACGAGAAUGAAAACCUAUACAUUUCAGAGCCCAUUCAGUGAACUUCUGAACCUUGGCACCAGCUUCAGCCUUCAAAACCUCAUCCCCAUUGCAUUCUUGCAGCCGCUCGUGCAACCUGCUAUAAGGACGAGGAAAACUGGUACAUCAACUUCAAGAAAUAAACACCUAACAACAUGCAACAAUCAUACAAAUGUAACUAAAAGAAGAACAACGAAAGUGUUAGCUAUAUGGCAAACAACUAACAUUUUAAGUUAUCCUUAAAAUUACAGGAAGAGUUGGUGAUCCGCUAGUAUAAAAACUUAAAGAUGCACAUAGAAAGGGUAACCUAUAUAGCAAAAAACUAUCAUUUACAGGAAGAGUUGUUGAGUAACUACACGUAACUAAUGAAUUGGUCCGUGCAAAAAAUUAGAAAACAGACAGAAAUAUAUAACUAAAAGAAGAACAACGAAAGAAGGGUGGGGGGAAUAUAGACAACAACUUUCACUUCAGUUCUAUACUUCUAUUGGGUCUUAAUCACAAAAAGGUAAAUUGAUGACCCACAUGUUACUAUUUAUAGGUGAUGUUAAGUUCAUAGAGUAUUUGACUAUUUGUCCUAAGAGUUAUACGAAGCUCCACUAAAAUGACACUUGACCUCAAGCAAGUUGUGUACCAUGUAAAGAAUAUACUCAAAGGUAAGAGCAGAAAUUAACAGUACAAUGCACAAGUCAAAUACUCUCUCAGUCCCUUAAAAAGGGGCUUAGUUUGACCUUUUUGGUCAAAUUGAACAAUUUCAGAAUUAAGUAUAUUUAUUUAUAUUUUCAAACCUAUGAAAAUUGGAGGUGAUAGUAAAUUCAACAUAAUUUCUUAUAGUUAUAGUUUCUCCACCCAUCUCUACAAGAAAAUAGUCUAAAUUUUGAUUAUAAAAUAGACAAUUUGACUGAAAAAGUCAAACUAAGCCAGUUUUUGCGGGACGGAGGGAGUACUACCCAAUAUAAACUCUCCUUGAUGCAUGAAAUGCAUGUAUCAUAUACAUCACAAGUGAGUGCUGAAAGGCCAAAUGAGAUAUAGGUCCAAAAUGUCUUACUUGAACAUUCAACAAGUGAUCGAGUCUGGGAAUUUUAUAUUAACAACACUUUAUUCCAGUAUCGACGUCACUCAAUUUAGAGAAUAAAUCAAAAAUGAAUACCUACACCCCUACACAUAAUAGUCCAUACACCACAAAAUGAAGAAUUUACUGUAUGGAAGAGGGAAUUUUUCUCCAGACACACCAAGAAAAAAGAAAGAUAAAAGAAGCAGCUAAUCAAUCUAAAGAAAUUCAUUCAUCAAAUGGUACACGUCUAAAGUAUUGACAAAUACAAUGGUAGUCUUUCAUGGCAGAAGUGUAGAAAGCACUGAAGUUUAUUACGUAGUAAAACAUAGACCCACCAACUGCAAUCCUAAAAACAACCACAAUGCUGCAACCAGAAACUAAACUUCAAAGGUAGUCAGUGAAGGCUAUCAAACAUGUUCAGUUGCCAAGGUGAUCCAGGAUAACAACUAAAGGAUGAAAUCAUAAAAACAUGCAACACGUAAACCGUCUUCAUCACCACUGUAUAAUCCCACAAUGAAUAGAACACUGUCACUAGAAAUGGAUUUCUAUCAUCACUAUCUUGAACUUGAUUCAUUUUUACAUAUAAAGUAAUGGUAAGAGAAGAAAUGAAAAUCACAUGAACAAGCCGUAUGAAAAGGAGGAAAAGGAACCGACAAAAAAAAUAAACAAAGAAUUACCGUUGUGCCAUCACGGACACAGUAUCUGCUAGGCUCAUUGUCCGACUUUGGCAAGCAGAGACACAGGAUGCAAGGAACGAAGUUCUGAGAGCAGCUCUUGUGAAGUCAUAAGCACCAUUAGCAAUAAUUUUAUUAAUUAGUCCUGUUAUCCCAUACAGCUCCUGCUGUGUGCUCAAAAACCAUAUCGAAUCGAGCGAAAUGCACAAGGCAUCAUUAAGAGUUUGUGGAUCUGCCAGCAAGAUAAGACUCUCUGCAAGUUCCCAAUCGUGGGAACUCACAGCACCCUGAAACAAUCGCCCCAACUCAAUCCUGUCUUGCCUGCUAAGUUUCUUCUCAUGGCCAAUUUUCUCAUUAUUGAUGAGUUCGGAUUCUGAUGUGGCCAGUCUGGAUUUCAGUUUUUUGGCAGCACCGCAAAUACAACCAUCCGCAGUCAUUCCUGCAUAUUCUUCAGUCUCCAGGGGACCUUCCCUUGAAAACACUAUGUUGCCAUUGCUUGCCUCACCUUUUUCCAAAUUAUAAACUACAACCUCAUUCUUUGCACUACCAGUUUCAAUCUCAUCGGUUUCCAUCUCAGUACACUGAGGUUCAUCAACAGGAUUAGUUUCAUUUCCCAAACUAAGCUCGCAAUCGCUUGCCAUCAUCGAAACUUUCUUAGCCUCCAUUUGUCUUCCUAACUUUCCUCCCAAAUUACAAACAGUCGAUUCUUCCAAGAACUAUGGGGGAUCAUAAUAAGCUCAAUCCAAGGCCAUGUUUAUUUUGUAAGCAGAGAGGAAAAGCCCAAAAAACUCAUUUUCAACAAACUCAUAUUCCUUCCACCAGAUCACAGAAAACCCCAAAGAAAAAAUCUAAAAUAUGAUGCUUUCCUUUUCAAUUGACAAAAAGCCAGAAAAGCAAAAACCAUGGAUAAAUCUAGUGCGGGAAGGACAUUAAAAUGAUGAAAUUAGCAAUAAACCCACCACGGAUAAAUCAAAAUACAAGUUUUUACCAAUAUACAUGUAUGAACUUCCAAUAUAAAGCAGGCAAACAAAGCUCCAUCACAUCAUCAUCCUCAAGAGAAACCCUAAAACCCCUUCUGAAAUCAAAUUCAUAAAAACCGAUCCUUUCCUAGCCCUGAACACCAAUUACAUAGGUCAAUCAUCAUCAACACACACUUUCAUAUGCAUCAAACAAAAAAAAGGACAAAAAAUAAUCAAUCGGUACGUAGGUACAAUUAAUCUGCCUGCAACAAAAUUAAAGAAAAAAAUUAAUCCUAAUAAUAAUAUAAAUAAGAGGAAUCAACCGACCAACCUGCGAAAAUGAAUGCAAGAAUAUAGAAACCACAACAAAAUAUAGAGUGAUGACAGAGAACGAGAGCAAACCUGAUUUGAUUAAUUUUAGUGGGGGAGAAAGUGGGGGAGAAAGUGAGACCCUGGAUGGGCCUAGAGUAUUUUGGCAUCAAAACUGGUUUCUCUCCCCCCGCCUUUUAUUUUUCUUUUCUUUUUUUAUAAUUUUAUAUUGACAAAAAGCACUUGUCGACUUGUAAACAUUAAUCACUGUAUUUUAAAAAGAAUACAAUUAACUCGCUGUGCUUUUUAAAAAAAUAAUCAGACCAAUUCAGUCCAAUUUUUUAGACUAUUUUCCGUCUGUGAAUUUAAAAAAGAAGAAAAAGACGUAAUUACAAAAAAAUGAAUUAAAGAAUGGAUGUAUAAAUACUUUUUUUAAAAAUUCACAGAAAAGGUUAAGAAAAAGAGACUGAGAGCAUAGACCAGAAGGGAGAAAUAAGCAAUGGCCGCAAAACCACUGGCUUUGUCAUCGUCACCGGCUUCUUCCAACUCAAGUGGUGUUUGAUAAAAUUAAGUGUUAAGAUCUGAACAGUUUAGACGUCUGAAUAAUAUAGAACAUCUGAAUAGAAUUGUGUCUGAAUUAAAAAAUAUUGUUUGAUAAUUAAUUUUUUCAAAAUAUCUAAAUAACAGUAUUUUACCAUUCUAACCCUCUGAACAGUUUAAACAAAACCUGUUUGAUAAUCAGAAGUUCUGAAUAGUAUUUUAAAUACAUAUUUAUAAUAUUUUGACCACAAUAUGAUAAAAUAAAAAUGAAAACGUACAAAUUAACAUGCUCACCACCUUUAGCGACGGAUCCAUAAAACAAAACUUUAUUCAACUAUAUAUAUAUAUAUAUAUAGAACACGGAUCCUGUCCGGGAGUCCGGACAGGUCCUAAAAUCCGGACCUUUUUUUUUUUGAAACAACUAAAAAAAAAAUUAUGGAACUGAAAUUUUUCCAUAAUACAGUGUUUUAGAUGUGUUUUUAAUACCUAUACCAACCAAUGUAUGUACAGUCUGCCCAGACUGUACAGAAAUGUUUUGGUAUAGGCAUCCAAAUCACGCCCAAAGCACUGUAUUGUGAAAAAAUUCCAAUUCCAUAAUUUAUUUAUUUAUUUUUUUUAGUUGUUUAAAAAAAAUCAAAAAAANNNNNNNNNNNNNNNNNNNNNNNNNNNNNNNNNNNNNNNNNNNNNNNNNNNNNNNNNNNNNNNNNNNNNNNNNNNNNNNNNNNNNNNNNNNNNNNNNNNNUAUUUUACCAUUUUAACCCUCUGAACAGUUUAAACAAAACCUGUUUGAUAAUCAGAAGUUCUGAAUAGUAUUUUAAAUACAUAUUUAUAAUAUUUUGACCACAAUAUGAUAAAAUAAAAAUGAAAACGUACAAAUUAACCUGCUCACCACCUUUAGCGACGGAUCCAUAAAACAAAACUUUAUUCAAAUAUAUAUAUAUAUAUAUAUAUAUAUAUAUAUAUAUAUAUAUAUAUAUAUAUAUAUAUAUAAGUUUGUCAACUUAAGCAACAUUUUUCAUCGUACAAUAGCUCUAAAGAAGUCAUGUAAUUGUUGUUUACAUCAAAUCCAAACACAAACACCAUGAAAUUAAAUUCCUAACAUGAGAAGAGCCUAAAAGUCCAACUGCAAUUAAGUUCUUGGAACUCCAGAAGCAGCAUCAGAUACACUCAGAUUUCUCCAGAGCUACAAAAGAAAUCAAUGUCAUCAACAAAAAAAGAGCAAACAAGAUGUUCUGGGGACAUUCUCAUUCUUUCCAAAUUCUCAUUCACAUUCUUCAUGCAAAUGAUGUUAAAAACUAAAGAACAUAAUGCAAGAUGCAAAGUUGUGCAAUAAAUUAUCCGCCAGCAACAAGACAGACCAAACAAAAUAACUAACGUGUUCAAGUACCGUAUCAAAUUUAAUGUCGAUAGAUGCAUUUAGGAACAAUGCCUAACAAACAGUUGUAGGCAAGAAUCUACUAUUAAUAUGGUCCCACUGGACAUACUUCAUACAAAGGAUAUCUGGAAUACAAUUUACUUAUCAAAUGUCAUAGCCAGAAAAUAACUUAGGCAAAUAGGAUGUUGCUACUAGAUGGAGGUAAAAGGAUUACAAAAUGACUUUUCCCCAUUGUAGUAAUCUUUACCCCUGUUUGUUUUCUUUAGGAGUGGUAUAUUGAAUCAACAAGGUCACUAUUUCAGUAAUGCUUUUGUCUUCACAGUUUAUAAAUUUCCAAUUCUAUCAACCAUCAAGCAUAUGCUACAUAGUCAUUCUCAUAACACUUAACUGUAAAGCAGAAUUUCAUUGUAAACAGUACAAAUACAAAUUUUGGAAGAAAUAAGUUAUAUUUUGUCACCAUGUAUUCUAGCAUAUCAUUGAGUAUGACAGUCAAUAAGUUGAUUAUUGCAGCCAAUACAAUUAUAAAAAAGUACACCCUUUUACAGAAACAAUACCAUAACUUGCAAGGUAGCACAACAAUAAGAUAUGUUAGACAUAAGCUGCAUAUUUAUUUCAGAACUAUCAGAACAGAGGCUCAAAAUAAUAAAUGCAUCGUCCAAAAAAUGUGUCUCCAAAUACCCAAGUUUGUCUUCAUAAUCACAUAGAAACAUGUAAACUUAUAUUGUUUAUGUAUACUAUUUGGUUGACAAAUUAUAAAUAAAUAAAUAACUCAUGGUUGUCUAUUAUAUGUGUGGCAAGUAUCAAUGACUUUAUAAAAAGUGAAUUAAUUAUUUAUAUGGUGUGAUACAAAAGUGGUAGAAAAAAAAGAAAAAUGAUGAAAGAUUGAGGAAUGAUAAAAGACCGAGUAUAAAAUUAGGAUUUGUUCUUGUUAUUAGAGACUCCACUCUGCAGUAACAACUAAUCCUUCACCCACAAAUACUAGUAUUACAUGAUUCAAAACACAACCCACUACUUAAAAAUCAUAUAAACAAACAAAUUCAAGACAAAACAAAUUGGAAAUUGAGAUCUGAAACAUAUAAUCCGACUCUGUUGCCACUAAAGUCCACCAAGAACAAUCUUUUCCAUUACAAAAAGAAAAAACAAACAACCGUUUGUAAAAUAGAGAGGGAUAAAACUCUGAGCAAUCUUCAAAAUAAGUUUUAUUGCAGAAAAAGAGAAGAUUUUACAGAAAACUGGGUUUAAAAAAAUAAGGAGAAGGGUAGCUUCAUAAAUAGAAGCCGGUAAACUAAAAAGUAGAGAUUCAGCGAUUACCGGCGUAAACAAUAGAUGAAGAAGGGAGAGAAGAUUACCGGCGAAAGAAGACAAAGGAGCAGCAGCGGAUUCGCUAGAGAAAAGCAGCAGCAUCGAUUUGGAGGAGAGAAAUGACGAUCUAGGUUUGAUUUGGGAUAAAAGACAGACGGAAGAGGUUAUUAUUGUCCCAAAAAAAAAUUCUCGCUCAGAGCCUCUUCUGAAUACUUUAGAUUUAUUUUUAUGUCUAACCAAUUAAGAGCUAUUAAGAGGCAAAAAAAAUUUUAACAAACAAGAUUUGCCUCUGACCGAAUCAGAGCCAAAUCUAUUAACACCUAAUAAGAGGUAAUCAAACACAACCUCAGCUUUGGAAAACUCCAAUGUCGAUCUCAAAAAACAUUUCUACUCUUCUCUCUCUUCCUUAUAACCUGUCAAGAAAAGUAAUUUUGCGUGAAUGUUUGUACACAAAAUCAAACCCAGUACACAAAAAUCAAUGAAUUCCCAAAAUGUGGGUUUUGAUUUUACAGAAGAGACUCCUCGAUUGACUCCCUCCUCUUCGAUCCCCCCUCCGAACAAAAAGUUUGGCGUAGUCGCCACAGGCUUACCGAAAUCCGCGCUCUGAUCUCUCCCUCUGGAUCCGCGCUGACUUACCGGAAUCACGAUAUAACCAAUCAUAUUCGAGCAUCAUAUGCUCUAGAUCUUCAUCAUUCGUAACGGAAAUCAAAGCCUCCAGGUCUUCACCAGGCAACUGAUCUUCAACUAAUCUCUCUGACUCUGACGAAAUACACCCUGAUCCAUCUUAGCAAUACGGUUUUUGAUUUGGAAAUUUUAAGUAAGCAUGAGCAAGUAACCAAAUUGGAAUCGAAAUCGUAACAAAAAUUGCACGAACCACACCAAUUAAAACACCGCAUCAACGGUUCCGACAUAUGUGGGAAUUUUAGGUGGGUUGAAUAACUAAAUUUACGGUUCUGAUUUGGUUACUAUCCAAAAUCGCACGCAUAAAACCGAAAUCGCACUAUGUGUGUGUAUGUAUAUAUUAUCUCUAAUAAAUUCUAAAGUUACUUUUCACUUGAACACGCUCAAAGAAAACUCCAGUCUUGCAUUUUAUUUUUUCACCAAUUGAAAGAAGAUGAUUAGACGUUAUUGAUGUGUUAAAAUUAUAUACUGCAAGUGCACAACGUUAAAUUGAAGAACUGACAAGUAUAGGUCGAACCCACAUAGACUAGAUUAAUUUUAAUGUAUCCUUAAUAUCUAUGUUAGGCGAAUAUAAAUAAAGAUUGAAAAUUGAUUAACUAGAAUAUGAAAACUAAUAAUGAGAAAUAAUCUAGGAAUCCGAAUCCAUUAAAUAAUAAACACAAUAUAUAAUUCAAUCUCUUCUAUUUUUAUAACUCAACUAUGAUUUUGAUCUCCCUUUCCUUUAAUUUAGUAAUUUACAAUUAACGUAGGCAAACAUAGAAUAUGAAAAUUUAAGGAUUAAUUAACUAUAACCCAUCAAAACUUCUUCGAGCAAGCAUGAAUUAUAAAAAACUCACAUCUUAACAAUAAUCUAUCAAAACCUCUUAAUUAAUUUAAAAUCACAUAAGAACUAUAAAACGAAUGUAUUUCAAUAACAAAACAUGAAGACGAAAUCAAUUAAUCAUAAUACCAUAAAUAAUAGAAGAGAUGAAAAAUAUUAUCAUGAAUAAUUAUUUAAUUUCAUCUUCAUUCUAAAUGAAAGAAAUUAGCUAGACAUGAAAAAAAAAAUUAAACUAACUAAAAUACAGAAAAGAAGAAGAUUAAAAAUAGAUAAGAAAACUCCCUUUAUUAACAAUCCUCCAACAAGCGUAAUUUAAUCUACUCAUACUUCUAACCUAAAAUAAUACAAUACCUAAUACUUCCUCCUCUCUAAAACAAGAGACCUAUUUAUAGAAAAAAUAACUUUAAACCCUAAUUUAGAUUCAUUGAACUUGGACACUUUUGUUCCAUUUUCAUGCAGGUUUCAACUUCCUAGUGACAAUCAACUUCUCAAAAAGAUCUUCUAGAUAGACUUUUCUUUCUCUUGUUGGAUUUGACUUGCACACCAAAAUUGUUCCAUCUCUUUCCUUCUCCUUGUAGGAUUCUUCUUGGAUAUUCCUUACAUGAAUAAGAGCAUUAAAUAUCCCUUGAUCACCAAGAUUUUGACUUUAUUGGGAUAAAUAUUAAAUCCUAUAAAUUAAAAUAAAACAUAUUAAUUUAAUAAACUAAUAUAAUUAAAAGGAUAAAAUUAGGGAUAAUAAAUGUAUGAAUUAUGUGUCUAUCAGUUAUAAAGUCAAAAAUUAAGCAUUUGAGUUUUGAAAUUUUGGAUUUGUUUGAUGCGUUACUAGAGGGGUUUAUAGCUGAGGGGUCAAAUUCGUUGGUUCGAGCACUUGAUGCAUUGGUUAAAAUCUAUGCUAUAGUAGUAAUAGUCUAAUAGAUUAUUUUUUAUAUUAGGUAUAGUUAGGAUUAUAUUCUAUAAGUCCACCCUGCCAUUCUAUCUCCAGUAUAUACUUUUAAUUUUUAGAGAACUAGAUAAACCUUCUUGCUUGUUAUCGAAUAUAUGGUCUUCGUUGUUUUAUAUAGCGUAUGUUUUAGUUUUAAAAUACAUUUCUUUAUUAUAAACUAAAACUAUUUUAUGUGUCUCACUGUUCUAUGAUUUGAUGGUGAAUUUAACAUAUUUGACAGAAUGAGCUUUGUUUCUAUGCUUGAUAUAAUUCACAUUGCAAACUCUAUCAUUAAGUUAAUUGCUCGAUGUGAGCUCUGUGUUAAAUUAUAUUGAAGGCUUAGACUUUUUUGUUGUUUUAAUUGGUUUUGGAACCGAAAUCGCACCAAUUGAAAUCGCACUGCACAGUUUAAAACUACACCGCAACAAUCACAAGCGAUUUCAUGUGCGAUUUUGAAUUUGUCAAACCAUACCUAAGUGGUUUUGGGUGCGGUUUGAACUUCAAAAUGCACCAAAUCGCACAAUACUCACCCCUAAUUUUAAGAGGAAGAAGAAGCACGCGACUUAUUUGGUCCUGCAGUUCUUCACUCUUGUUUUGAUUUGGUCCCUUUUUAUUUUGUUUUAUGUUUACUUAUUAACAAGUUUUAAUAAUUUUAAUAGUAUGUUUCUUUUAUGUUUAAGCCUAAAUUUAAUAUUAAUGAUUUCAUUAUAUUAAUAUUAAUUUUUUAAAUAAAAAUAAUAAUUAAAAAGAGGAAAAGAGAUGAAGAAAAGAAAAAAUUAUAAAGAAAAUGAAUUAAAAUAUUUAUUUUAAUUUUAUUAUUAUUUUAAUUAUUUUUGCAACAUAAUUAAUGAUUUUAUUUUUUUUGUGUUGCCACAUAAGAAAAUAAUGAUUUUUUGAUUUUUUUUUUCAAUGUCACAUCUAAAAAUAUUUGACGUCCGUCCAAUCUUGGACGGAAUGACCUGAUUAAGAAUUUUUAAAAAGUACAGUGGGCUAAUUGUAUUUUUUUAAAGUACAGUAACUCAAUGCUUACAACUCUACGAACACAGGGGUAAAUGUGUUUUUUGCCAUUUUAUAUUUAAUAAACUUAUUAAGUUAAUUAAUGAUUAAAAAUUUCAUAUUUUUGACAAUUAUUUACUAAUUCAAUAAUUUUAGGAAUCUAUAAUUUUAGGAAACUUAUAUAUCCACAAUAUAAAAUGAUACUUUCACAUGAAAAUCGCAACGAUAGAUUCUAUAGCGACAGUUUUCAUGUGAAGAUAUCAAAAAGUGUUGUGAAAAUAUCAAUUUCCUAAUUUUAGUGUCAAAAAAUAGUUAUAUAUUCUUUAUGAUAACUUAACACGAGUUUAAUAGUUUUUUCUAUCAUUAAAUUAUUUAUAGAUCUAAAAAAUAAAAUUUCUAACAAAAUUUAUACUGAGAAAAUUAAAGUAAAACAACUACUAGAAAAAAAAUAGUUUAAUUGAUUUGUACUUUGGUACACAUUAUAUAAAAUACGAAAAUAUUGUAUGUAAAAUAAAAUAUUCAAAGUAGGACUAUAACUCUCGUAUUUAAAUAAAUGUUUUUCUUUUUAUCAUCCAUUCACAAAAGUGAAAAAAAAAAAUUACACUUAAAUCAGUUCCAAAUAUACGGCCGAAAACUUAAAAUAUUUUGCAACUACUUAUAUUGGAACUUGAUAUUUAAAAAAUAAAUAUAAAAUCUUGAAAAUGCAAUAAUUACGCUAAACUAUAAAGGUAUAAUUAUUUUUAUCAAAUUUUAUGUCUUGAAGUAAAUUAUAUAUUUAAAAAUAUUGAGUUAAUUAAUUACAAUUUAUUAAGUUAUAAUUUCUAUAAAUAAAAAUUAAUUAAUUGAAAAUCUGGUAAUAGCAUUGAUAGCGACCCAGCCGCUAAUAAAGGUAACCGGGAAAUGAAUCGACUCUCAACCCAUCCCCGAAUAGAUACUAGAUUAUAUUCUUAAAAAAUAAUAAUAUAUAUUACGAAUAUUUACGUUAAUUUUUUGAUUACGAAUUAUAUGGAUAAAUAUUAGUGUUAAUUAUUUUUAAAAGAUGUUGUUAUAAAAUUAUGUCUAGAUUCAUAAUUUAAUGGAUGUCUAGUAACUCCCAUGUCCAUUGAAUUUUGUAACUCAUGACUCUUUAGUUUUAUAACUUACUAGUAGUAUUGAUGAUCUUACUUCUAUAAAUAUGACAAUUGUAAAGUGAUGGAGUUGGAUACAUAGAUUAUGAAAAUACUCUCUCUAAUUAUCUUCUUUUAGUCAUCUUGUUUUAGUUAUCUUUCAUAACAUUUUAUAACACGUUAUCAGCACGAUUUGCUUCUCACUUUCGUCUUAAAGCAGAUAAUCAUAUUUGAUUUGUUGGUAAGAAGUAGAAGGUACAACUCUCUAUCUCUAUAUAUAUAUAAUAUAUAUUAUGUUCUAUUAUUACCACCAUAUGAAUAAGAGGUGAUAAGGUAUUAUAGUGUCUUGUAUAUAUAUUUUGUCUAUUAUCUCAGCACCACCAAUAUGUCCAGCGUCCACUAGUACUCUACAGCUAAUGGUGUGAAAUAGGUCAGGAAAUAACAUUGACCACACAACUGAAUAGAUCUGUAGUAAGGUGUACAAUUUGAGAUGUUGAUAGGCAUAUAGCAUUUUUAUAACAGUAUCAGGUAACAAAGAUAUUUUGGCGAAGCACAUGUAGACGAGUGCACAUUUUUGAAAUUAUGUGAGCACUACAAUUCACACAGCAAAUUAAAUUGAUACUCUGGACUGAACAAUUUUACACUAUUAUUCAAAUAACAUGAGCACGGGUGGAUAAGUCAACCGUGCGAACUUAGGAGCGUCACGACAGUUGACAUACGUUCUUGGUAUCACUAAGUACACUUAAUACGGUUACGGACUAGCAAUUACUAUUAUACUAGUAAGGAAAGUAAAAGACUCACUUGUAUUAUGAAAUGAUUUGAAGGAAAGAUUUUAAAAGCUCAUUAUAAUUGGUUGCACCUGAAGUUUCAAGAUUUUAAAAGUGUUGAGUGAAAAACACUGAUGAAGACAUGUUAGAGAAAAUAUUUAUUUUCAUGACUCGAAUAUGCUCUUGCAGCAGCAAUAUCAAGAGCGAAAGUUCAUAAUAUAUUCCCUGAAGCGAUAAAGUAAAUUAUAUUCCUAGAAGUGAUAUCAUUUCUUUUAGUGGUAGUACAAAAUAAUAAGUUUUUGCUGAAAAACCAACAAUCUCGCUCGACCGAAUCUAUUACAUUCCCUGAAGUGAAUGGAAUCUCAUUUGAUAAUCAUAGAGGAAAUUAUGGUUGUAGUUGUGGUAGUGGACUUGAAAAGAACAAUCAAUAUAUAAAAGGGAAUGUACCCGUCGUACUCCUAAACACUUGGUAGAUUUGUACCAAGACUCUAUAAAAGAAAAGAAAAUGGAAUGAUCCUGAAGAUCCCAUGAAUUAUUUUGACUUUUCAAAAUGGAGUGGAUAUAACUAAUUUUGAUAUCUAUGGUUUCCUUGAUGAUAUGUUGAUAGAAAUGUUCAUACUAAUUAAUUAUUUUUAUUUCAUUAUAUUAUGACAUUAUAAUAAGUAUUUUUAUUAUAUAUUUUAUUUAUGUUUCAAGUAAUAAAGUUAAAUUUAUGUUUUGCAUAUAUGAAAUUGUAUGAGUCAGAAGCUCAUCAAACUUUAAAGGCUCUGGAAGAGCGAUUAGUCAUCAAACAUAAUUGAAGACUCUUGAAGAGUGAUUAUUCAUCAAAUUUAAUUAAAGUCUCUGGAAGAGCGAUUAUAAUAUUUUCAAAGGGCACAAAACUUUGUAUUGAUGAUUCUUUAUAUUCUUCUGAGACAAGCAGAAAUUUGCUCAGUUUUAAGGAUAUACGUUAUAAUAGUUAUUAUAUUGAAAUCAAUAACGAAGGUAGUGAAGAAUUUCUUUAUAUUACUUCAAUAGUAUCGGGUCAGAAGCUCAUAUUAGAAAAAUUCUAUAUUUUCUCUUUUGGGUUAUAAUGAGAAUAGUUGAAACAAAUGUUGUAAUACACCAGAAGUGUGCAAUACACCAGAAGUGUUUGGAUCCAAAUAUUUUUAUGAUUUGGCAUGAUCAUUUAGGAUCAAUAAUAAUGCAUUGAAUUAUUGAAAACUCCCAUGAACAUCCUUUAAAGAAGCAGAAGAUUCCUUUACCUGUUGAUUAUAUCAAAGUAAAUUAAUUACCAAAUUAUCACAUUUAAUUAUUGUUAUUUGGUGUUCAUCUUCUAAGAAAGAAUUUAGAGUGAUAUUUUUAAGGUAUAUUUUGAGGAUAGUUAUUUUAAUAGUCUUCCCACCAUUAGAGGGAGAAAAGAUCGUUGCCUGAAGCACGAUGGGAGAUUAAUUGGAAUGUUUCGUUGCCUAAAACACGACGUGAGAUCGUUGCCUGAAGCACGAUGGAAGAUUAAUUAGAAUGUUUCAAAUCCUGAUUCUCAUACAAAUUAAUAUGAACUAGAAGUUCAAAGGAUUAUUCAUUUGCAAUGAAUUGCAAAUCAAUUACUAGAAUUAUUCACCGAUAAUAAGAAAAGUGUGAUAUCUCACAUUUUAGCUGCUAAUACUCUAGAAGAGAUUGAAGUCCCUGUAGGACAAUUAGUUAAUACAACAGCAAAUUGAAUCAAAGUCACACUUGAAAAAUGGAAGAAUGAUUGGUGUUAAAAAAUAAAAUUUUCCAGAAGAAGAAAGUACAAGAAAAAUAAGUUGCAGCCUAUAAAGAGGCUAUACCCAUGAAACAGGCUACAAAAUUUAUCAAUCUAUCCAAAACUUAUGAACAAAAAUCUCUUGUAAAUAAAACUCUUAAAGAGUUAUUCCCUGAAGAGGAUGAGUUAUCCCCUGAAGAGGAUCAGGUACCUGAAAAUAACGAGAUCUCGAUACAUUAUGUAUAUAAAAGAGACGUAUAUAUUGGAUAGAAAUAAAAUCGUUGUCGACAACAUAUUUUCAUAUAAAUUUGCUAUGGAUAUUACCAGAAGUAAUGAUCAUAUAUAUGAACCACAAAUCGUUGACGAAUGUAGAAAUAUUUGGCCAAUGUAGAAAGAGGCGAUUCAAGCAUAAUUAAAUUCACUAAGUAAAUGUGAAAUUUUUGGACCUGUAGUCCGAACACCUAAAGGUGUAAUGCCUGUUGAAUACAAAUGGGUAUUUGUACGAAAUAAGAAAAAUAAGCGCGACUUGUUGCACAAGGUUUCUUGCAGAGACUUGGUAUUAAUUAUGGAGAAAUAUUUGCUCCUGUAAUGGACGCAAUUAUAGUCAAAUUUUUAAUUAGCUUGGUAGCAAAAUAAAAUUUGGAUAUGCGAUUAAUGUAUGUUGUUACAACAUAUCUGUAAGGAUCAUUAGAUAAUGAUUAUAUAUACAUGAAAAUCCCUGAAAGAUAUAAAAUGCCUGAAUCAUAUAAUUCUACAUCUCGAAGUAUGUAUUUUAAGUUACAAAGAUCCUUAUAUGGGUUAAAGCAAUUCAGAUGCAUAUUGUGGAAUAAUCGCCUAAGUAGAUAUCUUUUGAAAGAAAGAUUUGAGAAUAAUCCAAUUUGUGCAUGCAUUUUUAUCAAAAAAAUCAUAAUCUGGAUUUGUUAUUAUUAUUGUAUUUAUUGAUGAAAGAUCUUGCUCCAAAAGAGUCGACAAAAACAACUAAUUUAAGAUGAAAGAUAUUGGUAAGCCAAAUUUUUGUCUUGGUCUACAAAUUGAACUCUGAAAUUCUUGUUCAUCAAUAAACAUACACAGAAAAAGUCCUGAAGUAACUUUACAUGGAUAAUAUUAAUCCUUUGAGUGCUCCAAUGAUGGGUUAGUCACUUGAUAUCAAGAAAUAUUCAUUUUGACCACAAGAAAAUGAUUAAUAAAUUUUUGGUCUUGAAGUACCAUAUCUUUGUGAAAUUGGUGUUUUGGUCCUGAAGUACUAUAUCUUAAUAUAAUUGGUACUUUGAUGUAUCUUGCAAAUUUAAAGACUUGAUAUAACAUUUGUAAUUAACUUACUAACAAUGUAUAGUUAUGCACCAACUCGAAGAUAUUGUAAUGAAAUUAAACCUAUUUUAUGUUAUCUUUGUGAGACUAUUGAUUUGGGAUUAUUUAAUCCAAAUGGUGAUAGAACCAAACAUAUUGCACCAAAAUUAUUUUAUUAUACACAUGAGCCCUAGAAGAAUGACAAUAUUGAUCAUGUGAUAAUUUGGUUGAUAUAUUUAUUAAGUCAUUACCAACUAUGAUUUUGAAGAAGAUGGUGCACAAUAUUGACAUACUUCGACUUAAUGAUAUUUUUACUAUGAACAAUGAAAAUUCUAUAAACUUAUGAAGGGGAGUAAAAAGGAUAUGUGCUGAUUGUACUCUUUUUCCUUCGCUAAGGUUUUUUCCCACUGGGUUUUCCUUUGCAAGGUUUUAAUGAGGCAAUCCCAAGGCACUAGAAGUUAUACAAGAAUAUUGUACUCUUUUCCUUCGCCAAAUUUUUUUUCCACUGGGUUUUUAUUUGGCAAGGUUUUUAACGAGGCAUAUUCUUAGAAAAUUGCUACAAAAGAACUCCAUCCAUUCUGUAUGUAGACAGUACUGCAUGUAUAGCUCAAUUAAAAGGAGGAUACAUCAAAGGAGAUAGAACAAAGCACAUCUCACCGAAAUUCUUUUUCACACAUGACCUUGAUAAAUGUGGUGACAUUGAUGUUCAACAAAUUCGCUCAAAAGACAAUCUAGCAGAUUUGUUCACCAAAGCAUUACCAACUGCAACGUUUGAAGGAUUACGUCGCAAUAUUGGAAUACGACAGCUGAAGAACUUAAGGAUACAUUCAUGAGGGGGAGUUAAUACGCGCUGCACUCUUUUUUCCUUAACUAAGGUUUUUUUCCAUUGGGUUUUUCCUGAUAAGGUUUUUAAUGAGGCAGUUUUCAAUGCGUAUAGCUAUACAAUAGACAUCCAAGGGGGAGUGUUAUAAAAUUAUGUCUAGAUUCACAAUUUAAUGGAUGUCUAGUAACUCCCAUGUCCAUUGAAUUUUGUAACUCAUGACUCUUUAGUUUUAUAACUUAUUUAGUUUUAUAACUUACUAGUAGUAUUGAUGAUCUUACUUCUAUAAAUAUGACAAUUGUAAAGUGAUGGAGUUGGAUACAUAGAUUAUGAAAAUACUCUCUCUAAUUAUCUUCUUUUAGUCAUCUUGUUUUAGUUAUCUUUCAUAACAUUUUAUAACAGUAUAAUAAAUAUAAGGUCCUCUUAUAAUUUUAUUCAAUUUCAUAUAUUGAUAUGUUUUACAAUUAUUAUUUAACACAAAUUUAUGAGAUUUAUGUGUCUCAAAAUAUUUGCUGCUUCAGGUUUUGAAAGAGAGUAAUCCUAUUGAAACAAAUUAUACAGAAAAACUUGUGUACUAUAUAAAAAAGAUAAAAGUUAGGAAACGAGACCUACUAUUAGAUAUUUUAUAAAGAAUAAUUGCUGUUCUAUUUAUAAUAAUAAUGUUUUGUAUAGAACUCGAAUAUUACUUAAUGAAUUUUGUGUACUUGACUUACAUGAAAAAUAAUUUUGCAUUUUAAACAAACUAGUAUAAGAAAAUGAGAUAAUCAUUCAAAGAGUUGAAUGUGUGUAUUUGCUGAAAUACAAGUGUGAAUUAUUUGAAAGAUUCAAAUAUUUCAGAAGUGAAAUAAAUUGACAAAGUAUUAAGAUUCUUUGAUUAGAUCAAGGAAUAAAUACUUGUGCAAUAAGUUUCUAGAUCAUCUCAAAUAAUUUUCUCAUAAUGGACUCCUCCUAAUACGUAAUAAUUGAUUGAUGUAUUUGAAAGAAAAAAUCGUACUUUGUUGGACAUGGUGUGGUCCAUAAUGAUUUUACCGAUAUUCCAGUAUCCCUCUAAGGUCAUGCCCUAGAAAUGGCUGCAUAUCUACGAAAAGGAACCUCAAAAUCCGGCCCCAAGACUCUAUAAAAGUUAUGGACAUAUACGAUACGUGAGUCUUAUUUUUUAUGCAUAAUUUUUUAUGUAUAAUUUGUGCACAUAAGAUUAUUCUUUGAAAAAUUACCAACGAAAAUAUUUUAAGUACAAUAGAGCUACAAUAAACACAUUCAUUUGCGGACGUAGGGAUUUGGCUCGCCUCCAUUAUAUUUUUUCUCUAAUUUCAUUCAAUACAUCAAUUAUUUGAUCUUAAGAAGUUUGUUACUAAUGAUCAAAAUAUGUUAAUAGAUAUUUGAUAAUAUUAAUAUCAAUCAUACCAAAAUUUAUAACAAUUAAAAAUAUUUUGACCGUUAAAAGUUUUAAAAAAAUUUAGUCAUUGAAUUUUUGAUGAAAAAUUUAUGCAUUUAUCAAAUGGUAAAAAAAUAUUAGAUUAUUUUCAUUUUUGGAAAAAGUAUACUAUUUAAUAUUAUAAAUUAAUUAACUAGUGUUAAUUUUAAUUAUAUUAUUUAAAAUUAUAAAAAUAUACUAUCUUCGUCCCAUAAUAUAAGGCGUUUUAGAAAAGUUUUUUUGUCCAUUAAUAUAUGACGUUUUUGAAUUACAAGUAAACAUUAAUUACUUAGUUUUUAAUAUCACCUCAAGUUUAAAUAUAACUUUGGGUCCCUCAUUAUUUUUUACCCAAUAAAUAACAAUCUCUUUUUCUAAUAUAAAGACAAUAUAAAUAUUUGAUAUUAUAUUUAAUUCUAUACAAUUAUUUUCUUAAUACUUAUACACAACUCUAAAAAAAUCUUAUAUUAACGCGCUGUUUCUGAGUUUUAAAAUGGACAGAAAAGAAAAGAAAUGGACGAAAAAUUUAAAUUUUCUUUCAAAUUCUUAUGUUUCUGAGUUUUUUAAUAAACAGAAAAAAAAUAAAUGGAUAGAAAACUUGACCACUUUUUCUGCCAAAGUUUUCUGUCCAAAAUUGAUCUGAUUUGGACGAAAAAGAAAUUGAAAUAAGUAAUAUUUUUAUAAUUUCCAUAUUAUCUUCAAUUUUUAAUAUAAUAAAUUUUAAAUUACUACUCAUGUUCUGAAUUUUAAAUUUUUUAUUAAAAAUUCAGAAAUAACACAAAUAAAAUUUUUAAAUUUUUUAUUCUUUUUUUUAUUCUAAUUUAAAUUUUCUAUUUUUUUUAUUCAAAACUCAUAACAAAGCGUAACGGAGUGAGUACAUUAGUCAAGCCCCAAAAAUAGACAGGACUAGUCAUGAAAGUGAGAUUCUUCUGAACACCACAUAAAGUUUCCGGUAGCCCCCUUCUAAUGGGCCCCACAUCACUCUCUGGAGUCUUUUCUGCAAUGCAAUGAUUAACCAUUUUAAAACUACUCUUUUUGUUUGUUUACAUUCAAUGUCCCAAAACAGUUGUCCUCUUUGAUGCCACAAAUUACACCUAAUUCAAGAGUAACAAAAUAUAUACAACUAAUUGUUAAAUCCACUUGAUAUUUUCACAAUAAAAUCUUUCCAUAGAUCUUAUAGUGAUGCUGAAAAUCCUCACUAUACAUUUAUAUUAAUAUUUUUAUUGUAAAAAUAAUAAAAAAUAUUCUUAAUAUGUUAAAUAUUACAAUUAAGUGGAAAGAAAAAUGGGUGCUAGAAUGUGUAUUUAACUUGUAUAAUAUUUUCUGUAUUCUAAAAUGUAAAAUUUCUUGCCUUUAUAACAUGGUUAAAAUUGUUCGUUAUUCACUAACUUUAUAUAAAGAAUGAAAGAAGGCUCACAUAAAAGAUGUUAAAGAAGUCAGGUUGAAAAUUUGUGACUCAUAAUAUAGAAGUAAUUGAAAAAGACUAGUGCGGACAGUGGCGGAACCAGAGCAGUUUUGUUGGGGGGCAAAAAAAUUUAACCGGACACACUAAUUUUUUAGAUUCGUUUGACAGGUCAUAACAGGUCCCAAAAAUGACCGGACACACUAAUUUUUUAUUUUGAUUUUAAAAUGCCUUUUCAUAAUUCAAUUUGUCCAAGCUCUUUAAUUAGCUAUAUAAAGCAUAUAUGUAUAUAGUUUGGGUCUUGGCUUUGCUUAAUUCCUAGUUUUUAGCAAAAACAGUCCUAAGAGGACUUUUAGCGAACAUGUUAUGUGCGCCACUUUAACAAUCAGAUUUCUUAGCCAUUUCUUUGUGUUCCAACCCGAAUUCGCCAUCCUUAUUACUCCGCACAUUAACAACUAUACUCCAUGUCACUAAUUCAAUCAAAAGCUAACUGAUUUAUACCAUAAAAGCAUACAAGUUAACAGGAAGUUAACAACUAUAAGUCUAUACUCCAUGUCCUGAAUUUUUUCUCAUGCUUUAUGUUUCGAGCUUUUGCUGAUAUAUAAUUGGUUACUGCAUAUCGAAAUUUUUUAGGUAAUGAAUUAUUUGCAAGAAAAAUCGACUUGGGUUGAGGAAUUACUUGGAGAUGCAAAGAUUCUUGUAUUUGAUGAGACCAUUUCUUAUGCAGAUUUUGACAAUCUCCUUUCUGAAGUAGGUAAGGAGAUUGAAACAGUAAAUGGAGAAUUAAAAGAACACAAGGAAAAAUGUGCAGAAUUAUCUGCAAAUCUGAAAGAGAAGGAAGAGAUGUGUGUAGAGUUUGGUAUUACCUCUAAUUAGCAGAACAAACAGUCAUUAGACGAAUCCUGCCGGAGAAGAGUCGGAGAAGAAGAGAAGAACUGGUCGCCANNNNNNNNNNNNNNNNNNNNNNNNNNNNNNNNNNNNNNNNNNNNNNNNNNNNNNNNNNNNNNNNNNNNNNNNNNNNNNNNNNNNNNNNNNNNNNNNNNNNNNNNNNNNNNNNNNNNNNNNNNNNNNNNNNNNNNNNNNNNNNNNNNNNNNNNNNNNNNNNNNNNNNNNNNNNNNNNNNNNNNNNNNNNNNNNNNNNNNNNNNNNNNNNNNNNNNNNNNNNNNNNNNNNNNNNNNNNNNNNNNNNNNNNNNNNNNNNNNNNNNNNNNNNNNNNNNNNNNNNNNNNNNNNNNNNNNNNNNNNNNNNNNNNNNNNNNNNNNNNNNNNNNNNNNNNNNNNNNNNNNNNNNNNNNNNNNNNNNNNNNNNNNNNNNNNNNNNNNNNNNNNNNNNNNNNNNNNNNNNNNNNNNNNNNNNNNNNNNNNNNNNNNNNNNNNNNNNNNNNNNNNNNNNNNNNNNNNNNNNNNNNNNNNNNNNNNNNNNNNNNNNNNNNNNNNNNNNNNNNCGUCGCCUACCGGGGGCAGCUGCCCCCGCCCGCCCCCGCCUAGUUCCGCCGCUGAGUGCGGAGCCUUUUCUGGGUUGUUUAUUAGAGGGACAUUAUGAAUAAUUGAGACAUAAUGUGAAGUAGAGUUGGAAUAAGAUUAGUAGGUAUAAAUACUAUUUAUUGUAAAGCCAUAUAUAACCAAGGAAUCAUCAAUAAACAACAAGCCGCAUGUGGAGUACCCAAAUUGAGGAACCACGUAAAUCUUUUGUGUUAUUCUUAAUUCUCUAUCGUUUGUAUGUGUAUGUGAUCCUAUAUUCUAACAAGUUAUGAUGGUUAUGAUUGAGAUUUUAUAACAAUUAGGUUGCUUGUUAAGUGUUUUUUCAUUGUUCAUCCAAUGUGAAGUGUACUUGUUGAUAGCUUUAUAAAUUGUUGAGAUUAUUCCUCCAAAAUAGGUGUAAUUGUGUUUCUUAUAUGUUAAAAAACUAACUUAAAAGAUAAAAUAAAAAACUAAUAUAAAUAAGAAAUUUGUGUCUGUUUUCCAUUUUAUUAAAUUAAAUUUAUCUACGUAACUCGUAAUUAAAAAAUUGAUGUAACAUCGUCAAUAUAUAUCAUUUUUCUUUUUGCAAGUUAAUGGUGUGCUUGACAAAUCAAAUUUGAACAAAAAUAAAAAGAUAUAUAUAUAUAUAUAUAUAUAUAUAUAUAUAGAUGAGUACCUUUAUUAUUGAUAUACAAGUGUGAGAGUUCCAAAUCAUUCACGAAGGUACAAUCUUCUUUGAGGAUAGGGUUGUAAACAAGAUGGGUCGAGUCGGGUUUUGACUUAUCGAGUUCGAACUCUUUUAAACGAUCUUAGUCAGGUUUUAAACGAGCUUGAAAUCUAUGUAUAAAUUUGACUCAAUUAUAAACGACCGAGUCAGUCCUAAGCAAGUCGAGUUGAGCUCGAUCAUAAGCUCAACUUGUUUAAUUUAUUUUAAAUUUUUCACUUUUUUAGAAAAAAAUUAUAUAUUAAUAAAAUAUAUUGUUCGAGCUCCAUUCGUUUAAUUAAACGGAUUAAAAGUCUAGUUCAAACUCAACUCAUUCGUUUACAGUUCUAUUUGAGAUAGUUGAAGUUUAGGAUGCUUGUCUAUGUACCGAGUCAAUUAGGUUUUGUACAAAGAAGAUGAAAGAAAAAAGAUAUAAUAAAAAAUAAAUAGUUCAAUUCCAUUUUUUCACUGCUUUUUUAAAAGGACUAAUUUGAAAGAAUAUCUCUAUGAAUCCAAACAAAGUACAAAGAAGAUAUUUUCCUUUCAUUUCGAAAAAAAAGUCUUUUAUUUCAAAAACUGUGCCAAACACAACAUAAAUAUGAAAGAAAAAAAGGGUAUUUUCGUGGGAGAUGAUUUAUGGCAAACAAAAAAUCUAUGACGAAGGUAAAUUAAGACUUACGUGAAGUUUUAAUAAAUUAAAUUUUGAUUACUUAUUAAUAUAAUCUUAUCAAAUAUAUUCAUAUGAUAUGUGUCAAUUAGUAACUUUCAAAUUAGGGUUUCUAUCAACCCAUGAAUUUUGAUUUUAAUCACCACGUAUCCGCCUUAAUCUCCCCUAAAAACCAACAAAAGGUCUGCUGGAGUUAGGGGUUCGGGUUGACUCUUUGAUACUUAAGUCAGAUCAAUUGCUGAUAUGAGGAGAGAGCAGGGGUGGAUCUAGCCACAAAAUUUAGUGGGGUCAAAUUCAAUUUUUUUUUUAUUAAAAAUAAAAAUUAUAACUAUAUAUAUACUUUUCUAAAUCCAAUAUAAUUUCUCAACAUUUAAGUCGUUAAGUUUAAUAUAUAUAUAUAUAUAUAUAUAUAUAUAUAUUCAUAAUUUUCUUAUAAGAAAAAUAUUAAAAUGAUUUUUUUAAUCAAUAAUUUUUUUAAUUAAAAAUCCAAUAUAGUACAAAUAUGACAAAUUCAAAAGAGUUGGAUAAGGCCACACGAGAUAAAGAAAACUAAGUAAAUAGUCUUGAAAUUUUAACACAUUGUCUUGUCUUUGAGUUUUAAUUUGGUGAUAAAAGUAAAGGAAGCGAAUGAAAACAAAAAGAGAUAAUGUCAAUUUUGUAAUAGAAGAGAUUUUUUUAAAGAAAAGUGGUGUUUUUGAGUUUUAAUUAGAAAAAAAAAAUAUAAAAAAAAUGAGUGUAUUUUGAGUCAAAAAUUUUCUUUCUCAUUUUUUUUCUACAACUAAAAAACUUUACAGGAUGUUAGUUAAAAAAGAAAAGAAAGUAGAAGAGAGUACUUAUUUUUUGAGCCAAAUAUUACACAUGUAGAGAGAAAUAAGAGAAGUAGUACAAAAUUAUCAUUACUUUAAAAAAUCACUUAUACAAAAAGAGGGUGGUGAUAGGGGUGUGUACUAUGGGGAAAGGGAAGGAGCCAAGGAGGGCACAACACAUGGACGAAAAUUCAGUGGUGGCAGGUGCCCCCUUCCCCCUAGGGUAGAUCUGCCUCUGGGAGAGAGAAUUAGUAUGGGAGAAAAAAGUUGUGUAUCUUAAGUGUACUGGAGUAUUCCUUAUUUAUAGGAUGAAUCAUCUCCUUCUAGAGUUACAAAUAAAAAACCUGCAUGAAUUUAGAGAUUUUCUAGGUUGUUUAAACUUCCUAACAAUUUUGUCCUUUACUGAAUUUAAUAUGUUUCUAGAAUACUCAAUGAACAAAUUUAUUAUAUUACCCUUUAUUAAUAAGAUUAUAGAAAUAACACGUGACAACUUGUCAUUGGUGAGUUCUUUUUACCCAUAUCAUUUGCCCCCAUACUCUUUUAAAAAUUAAUAAAUAAUACUCUCCAUCCGUCCCUUAAUAUAUGAUGUUUUAAAGCGUUGCAUAAGAAUUAAGAUAAUGAUUGAAAAGUAUUAAAUAUAGUAUCAAUUGUCUAUAAUACCAUUAAAUCUUAUCUUAUCAUAGUUAUCUCAUACUUUCUCUCACACAUUUUUCUAUAAUUUUCUCCUAAAAAAACUCAUUAGUCUCAUUUACUCAUUGGUCUCUCAUCCAUUCUCAUAAAAUAACUUUUCCAAUUCUUUAGUUUAUUAAACUAAAAAAUUAGGUAGAGUAAUGAUGGGUAAUUUUGAAAAAAUUAUGACAAAUUCUCCUAAAUUUUAACAAAUGUCAAAUAAUUAGGGACAACUAAGAAACUCUAAAAUGUCCUACAUUAAGGGACAGAUGGAGUAAUAGUUUUUUUCUUCGCGUCAUGACGCUAAUUCAAAGCCCCUAUGACCUUAAUUCUAGCAUCCGUAGUCUUAAUUCUUGGCGUCCAUGACGCUAAUGUUCGGCCUCCAUGACCUUUAUUUUGGGCCUCCAUGACGACUUUAAUUCUGGGCCUCCAUGACCUUGAUUGUGGGUCUUUAUAGCUUUAAUUAUGGCAUAUAUGACUUUAAUUCUGGACCUUCAUGAUCUUGAUUCUGGCCUCCAUGGUUUUAAUUCUAGCCUCCAUGACCUUAAUUUUGGGCCUCCAUUUGAUUCUGGACCUCCAUAACUUUAAUUUUGGGCCUCUAUGACCAUAAUUAUGGGUUCCCAUGAUAUUGAUUUUGGCCUUCAUAGCUUUAAUUUUUGGGUCCUUUACAAUAAUAUACAACAUUUAGUAAGUAAUUACACUAUUAGUGCAUCCACAAAAUAAUUACAAAAAUAAUAUACUUUCCCAUAUUUAUUUACAAUAUUAGUGCAAUUAGGAUUCCUUAAUUUAGGAAAUUAGUAUAUGAUUCAAUUCACAAUAAUAAGGAAACCUAAAAUUAAGGAGAAAUAACUGUCAUAAUUAAUAAUUCAAAUUCAAAUAUCUUGGAUCUAACAACAAAAAUAAAUUCAAAUUCAAAAUAAUAAUUCAAAUAUUCAUAGUUUGGCAACGUCAUCUUCCUCCUCCCCUUCGCCGGUGAGACAGAGUCACAAAAUGGUCAAUGAGAUGUAGAAAUGAGGUGGAUAUUUGAUUUUUCAUAAUUUAUUCAUGUCCAAAAAUUUCAAUUCCAAUUUCAUGUCCAAAAGAAAAUAAGAACACUGCAUAGGAAGGAGAGAGAUAAGAGAGUGAUGUGUAAUGUAAUGUUGAUAACCAAACCUUCUUAAAAAGGUAACCAAACUUUUAUACAAAGGUAACUAAACCUUUAUACCAAGGUAACCAAUCUACCUCCACAUCUCCAUUAUGAAUUGGUUACCUUGGUCUGAAAGUUUGGCAACUAACUGUAUGAAUGUUUGGCUACCAACUGCAUCACAUUCAAAAUAAAUUGGUAACUUAAUAAAACUGAAUUGGUUACCUUGGUAUGAAGAUUUGGUUACGGGUUCUUGGGAUUGUACCUCAUCACCUCAUCAUAUAAAAUGUGACCCAUGGGGGCACACCCCAUGAGUAGACCCGGGUGACCCGAAUUGGCCUUCUCCACUGCAUCAAUAGCCAGCAACCGAAUCGAGUUCACCGAUUUCUCCACCAGUGAAGUCUCCGUCUUUUCGAGCGUCUCCACGGUGAUAGCCCUGACUACACACCGUCCGGCGGUGGAUUUGCGGCGGCGAGAGGAGGAUUUGAGGGAGGUGGAAAAAGUGGGUAGGUGAGAGAAAGAGAAGAGAGAAGAAGAGGGUUGUUGGGUAGAAGAAUUGGAGCCGCCAUGGCGAGGAAUAGAUCGAGAAAGGAUGACUUGAGAAAUAGUUAGAGAUGAAGAAGUUGCCAUGGCAGAGUCUAGAGAGAGAAAGUAGUCCUGGUGAAGAAGCUGAGAUGUACUAUGUAACAAGAGAAGAGAGAAAGUUUGUUAUAUGGAUUACUUAUUAAUUACUUAAUUUAAUAAGUAAAUCAAUACUAAUCCCCUAAAUUAAGGAAUCCUAAUUGCAUACUAAUUCCCUAAAUUAAGGAAUCCUAAUUGCACUAAUAUUGCAAAUAAAUAUGAAAAGUGUAUUACUUUUAUAAUUAUUUUAUGGAUGCACUAUUAUUGUAAUUAUUUCUAAAAAUGUACUAUAAUAUUAAUUAACCCUUAAUUUUAGGCUCUAUUGCCUUAAUUCCGACCUUACUUUAAUUUUGGGCUUCUAUGACCUUUAAUUCUGAUGCAAAACUUCUCUUUUUUUUGUUUUAUAGGUCUCUUUUGUUGGGCCAACAUUCAACUUGUGAAUGAUAACUUAUAAAUUGGGGAUCAAUUCAUGACAUAUCAACUAUUGUCCAAGUAAACAUAUCUUUAUUGUUCCUCAAGAAUUGGACGAGUUUGUCUUUAGUUUUCUCCUUUAAACUAGAACCCACAUAGGUAAUUUUAUUAAGAUUUGCACUUACAAAUAAAUUUGGGACCAACUCCUUUGCAGGUUAUCCUUUUUGCUCGUUAUCUUCAUCCCUCACAUCUAGGGAAUUAAUAGGCAAGACUUGCCUCCUGAUAAACACAUAAUUAAUACAUUUUUAUAUUUUCAUAUUAAUUAUUUUAUAUAACUAAUAUAUUUUAUUUUGUUUUUGUAGGAAAUAACAUUUAUUUUUCUUGGGGAGCAAAUAAAGGAUUUAUAUCCAACUUUUAAAUAUGAAAAAAACGACUCUUAGAGAAUUACCAUAUAGAGAUUAAAAUCAAGAAGGAAAGAAGAAGAAAAAAGGGAACAAAAGUGUCCAAGUUCAAUGAACCUAAAUUAGGGCACAAAUGUAUUCUCCCUAUAAAUAGGCCUCUUGUUUUAGAGGGAAGGGACACUACUUGUUAUUAUUUUUUUCCUUAGUUUGUUGUUGGUGUAGAAAGGGGUAAGAUAUUUAAAGAUUUUGUAUUUCUUUUAUUCCAAUCAUGUAUGGUACUACUGUCAUGGAGUAUUUGUAACUUUUUUUUAUUGAUAUUAUAAAAAUUUUCUUUUUAAUUAUUGUUCUUAUUUCAUGCAAAUAGUCGUACUAAUAUUAUUUAUUUUUGAUUUUUAAUUCCAUGGUUAACUAAAUUCCUAAUACCUAGGAUGAUGAAGAAACUAAGAAUUUUAUAAUAAUUAAUUUUUUUCCAUUCCGAAAUUAGUGCCUAAUUAUUUUUUCCUUCAUAUUUUCCUUUGCACAAAUUGCAUUUGAUUUUUAUAUUGAUUGCGAGAUUUUUGAUAAGUUAUAGUUAAUUUGUGAAUUUUUUAUAACUUAUGCUUGCCCAUAUUAAUUAUAUGAAUCAUUAUUUUUAAAGGAAAGGGAAAAUAAUUUGGGAAUUAAUUUGAAAAAUAAGAAAUUGUUUAUUAUGUUAGUAUUUAGUGGAUUCGGAUUCCUAGGUAUCUUUUCUCAGUAAUAAUUUCUAUUAUUAAUUUUUAGUUUGUAUUAUUUAGUUAGAUAAUCAUCUCCACCAUUUUUAUUUUUAAUUUGCCUAAAAUAUUAAUUAAGGCUUUGAUAAUUAAUCUAGUCUUUGUGGCUCGACUUGCAUUUGCCAAAUCUACAAUAUACGUUGUGCACUUACAAUUACUAAAUUUUAUCUUAUCAAAUUUUUGGCGCCGUUGCCGGGGACUAGAAUUAAUUUUUUAUUCCUUAAUUUUUAUUUAUUCGAAUUAGUUCUUAACUAUAAUAUUUUUUUAGGAUUAUCGGAGCGGAUCGAAGGAGCGAAAAGAUAAAAAUUUUGUUGUUGCGCUUUCUUUGGUACUUCGUAUCUCCAUAUUGUUAAAAAAAACCAAAAAAAAAUUUAGUAGUUUAUGUGACGCCCCCAAAAUAGGUAUACAUCACCCAAUCUGAGUUGUCAAAUACAUGGUACAGAAUUAACUACAACUUUAUUAUUACAACAUAUAAACUAUGAGUUUAAAUACAGAUAUUGCCAUCUAGACAAUAUCCACAUACAAAUAAAUCCUCAUCAUAAUUAUUGAUACAUUAUUUUACAAAAAUGGUUAGGACUACUAAACAACUCUCUCUAGAACCAUCACUACAUCCCCCGACUCGUACUCGUUACAUUAUCUCCUCCUGAGAAGAAAAAUGGAACAAAAAGGAAAAGGGUGAGCUCAACUAGCCAAGUAAAGAAUAUUAUGACUAAGAUAAUAUACAACAAAUUAUCGUUAGUCUUCAACAGGGAAAAAUCCAAUUGAAUACAAUAGACAACAAGUUUUAAAUCAAUAUUCGCAGCGAAAAUAAUAAUUCAUUAGAAGAUUUAAGUAGAGAAUGCAAACUACUAUCUUCUAUGUAUGAAUUUAAAAGUUCAUCGUCUAUCUUUUAUCCCUGUAACAUCAAUCAAUAUAUAUCUGAAAUUAAACAUUCAUCUUUGCACUACAGGCCAAAGAUAUUCAUUAGUUGGUCAUGUUCAUCUAAACACCUGUUCAUCUUUGCACUACUGGCCAAAGAUAUUCAUCAGAAAUCAUUCAUCUUUGCACUACAGGCCAAAGAUAUUCAACAACAUGUCAUCAUUUAGGACUAAGGAUGAUGAAAAAUAUUUUAAAGAAAACGAAUCCAGUGAAACAAAAGAAUAAAUAUUUAGGAUUCGUAUUUCAGUUAUUUUAUGUCCAAAAAUACCUCAUAAAUAAUCAUAGUGGUGUAAAAUCCAAGAAUGAUCAAAACAUGGAUACAAUCAAAGCUAGUAUCCAUAAUAGAUAUUUUUGACGAAAGGAAAAAUUUUCAUUUUUCAAUGAAUAGUGUCGUAUUCGUGAAUAGUGUCGUAUACGUGAAUAGUGCCGUAUACGUGAAUAGUAACUCCGACACCAAAAGUUCCAAAUUUGAUAAAAACUUCAGAUCAAUAUUUCAGCAUAAUGAUAUUGAAGAAAUAAUACCAUUACGAAAAAAAUAAUAUCAUUUACUUCGAAAGAUCAGUACUUCUAGCUGAAACACCGGAUAUAAGCUAUGACUUGAACUUGCACCGUAUAGCAAUACUCAAAAUAUACUCAAAAUACUCACUAAAAUACGCUCGAUAAUAUAGAGAGAGAAAACUUCAGUUUCUGGUGUGAUUUUCAAUUCUAACCUAAGCACCCUAUUUAUAGAAAAAUGCUUAGAACACCAAAACAGAAAAUUUAAUAAAUUAAUAAUAUAUAUAUAUUUUUUCCAACGCACACAUAACUUGCCCAAACAUCAGCCACCCCUUAAGACCACAUCCCAAGACCAACAAAAAAAUGUUUUUCUAAUUUAAACUUCCAAAAUUAAUUAUUUUAAAGCUUCGGAACUUCAAUAAUUCACAAUAAAUAGCCCUUUUGUCAGAAAAUUCGAAACUCGCGACUUUCCAUAGGAAAUUCCAUUAUCUACAACUUUUCAGAAGGAAGUUUUUUCAAAUUCCCAACAGAAAAUGACCGAAAUCCAUAAACGGGCGAUUUUACAGGCUAUAAUCAAAUUUCAGUCAAUAAAUGGGUCCACAGACAUGUUUAACAUGUUUUAAACAUUUAUUGCAACAAAAAUACUCUUUCUCCUCGUAUAUUCAUAUAUCCCACAUUCAUUAUAAAAAUAUCACUAUUAUUAUACUAUUAAAAUAUAAUAAUAUAUUUAAAUGAAUUAUUUUAUCAGAAAAAGAUAAAAUUUCAAUUUUCAACAAUUGUCACAUUAAAAAUUUUCUCCAUCUAUAUCCACAUAAAAUCAAUAUUUUCCUCAUCAUAUGAAUCAAUAAUUAAUUAUUCACAAAUAAUAUUACAGAAUCACAAUAUUGACAACCAGGCAGUUCCCAGGAAAGAGGGGGCUUUCCAAUAAGAAUUUCUCCUUACUGGCGCGCAAUUAGGUGACCAAACCUCUCCUUAGACAGAACUUUCUAGACAUUGCCAAUAAUGUUAUCUAAUAAUAUUAUUCAGAUAAUAUGAAUUAUUGCUUCGAUAAUGAAAAAUACUGUGUAAUGACAAUUAUUGAAACAACAGCAAUAUAAAAUAUCAACGCAGCAAUUAUUGAAUCAAUAAAAUAAAAUACUGAACAGUAAUUACUGUAACCAUUAUUGAGUAGUGCCUUCUUACGUAAGAGUCAAUAAUUGGUGCAAUACCGUGUGCUACUGUGCAACAACGCGUAUUACUGUGUUUUAACCACCGGGUAUUCCAACAGUGUAAACGGUAACAACUACGCCGUUAUUUUUAAACAACUUAUAUUUGUCGUUUUCUUCCUCCAAUCGCUUUCCGUUAUGGGGCCCACACAUGGCUGCGCCGUCGUACGAAUAUUCCCCGACAGUACGAAUAUUCCACGACCAAACGAAUAUUCCCCGACAACAAUGAAUAUUUUAUAACCACUUGCUUAUUUUGAAAUAUUUGCGUAUUUUACCCAUAACUAUCCACAUUAAUCAAAUCAACCCUUACUAUUUCAAAAUAAUAAAUAGAGAAAAUUAAAUUUCAUUAAUAAUAAGUUGGGGUCUUACAACCUCCCCUCCUUAUGAAAUUUCGUCCUCGAAAUUGACGUACGUACCUGGUGUUUCGAAAAGGUGAGGAUACCUCGCUUUCAUUUCCGUUUCCAAUUCCCAGGUCAUUUCCUCUAUAGCAUGAUUCCUCCACAAAAUUUUAACUUGUGGAAUAACCUUUGUGCGUAGGACAUGCUCCUUCCUAUCCAAGAUCUUGACAGGUACCUCUUCGUGCGUUAAGUCUUCGGCUAUCUCGUCCGGUUCUAACUCUAUAACGUGGUUCGGGUCUUUCACAUAUUUACGAAGUACAGAUAUGUGAAACACAUUAUGAACACGAGACAUACUUGGAGUUAACGCGAGUCUAUAGGCUACAUUUCCUACUCGGUCAAGAAUUUGAAAUGGACCAAUAAAUCGUGGAUUGAGCUUUCCUCGUUUCCCAAAUCUUGUAACUCCCUUCCAUGGAGCUACACGCAACAAUACGUGAUCCCCAAUACUAAAUUCCACGUUCUGAUUGUAUACGUGAUCCGCAUAACUCUUUUGUCGAUCUUGUGCCGCUUGUAUACGUUGUCGAAUCAUUUGGAUCUUUUCGAUAGUCAUACGUACUAACUCGGGUCCCAACAAUGUUGCUUCACCCACCUCAUCCCAACAUAUUGGAGAGCGACACUUUCGUCCAUAUAAUGCUUCAAAUGGAGCCACACCUAUACUUGCCUGAUAACUGUUGUUGUAGGAGAAUUCCACCAAUGGUAAAUACUUAUCCCAACUGCCCUUGAAGUCUAGGACACAGAGUCUUAAUAAAUCUUCAAGAGUUUGAAUAGUCCUCUCUGAUUGUCCGUCCGUUUAAGGAUGGUAUGCCAAACUGAAUCAUAAAUCCGUACCCAUAGCUUUUUACAAGCUAACCCAAAAUCUUGAAGUGAAUCUUGGGUCACGAUCUGAAACUAUAGAUACUGACAUGCCAUGCAAUCUCACAAUCUCAUUUACGUACAUUUGAGCAAGACGUUCAAGGGAAUAAGUCUCCCGUAUCGGCAAGAAAUGAGCAGACUUGGUUAAUCUAUCAACAAUAACCCAAAUNNNNNNNNNNNNNNNNNNNNNNNNNNNNNNNNNNNNNNNNNNNNNNNNNNNNNNNNNNNNNNNNNNNNNNNNNNNNNNNNNNNNNNNNNNNNNNNNNNNNNNNNNNNNNNNNNNNNNNNNNNNNNNNNNNNNNNNNNNNNNNNNNNNNNNNNNNNNNNNNNNNNNNNNNNNNNNNNNNNNNNNNNNNNNNNNNNNNNNNNNNNNNNNNNNNNNNNNNNNNNNNNNNNNNNNNNNNNNNNNNNNNNNNNNNNNNNNNNNNNNNNNNNNNNNNNNNNNNNNNNNNNNNNNNNNNNNNNNNNNNNNNNNNNNNNNNNNNNNNNNNNNNNNNNNNNNNNNNNNNNNNNNNNNNNNNNNNNNNNNNNNNNNNNNNNNNNNNNNNNNNNNNNNNNNNNNNNNNNNNNNNNNNNNNNNNNNNNNNNNNNNNNNNNNNNNNNNNNNNNNNNNNNNNNNNNNNNNNNNNNNNNNNNNNNNNNNNNNNNNNNNNNNNNNNNNNNNNNNNNNNNNNNNNNNNNNNNNNNNNNNNNNNNNNNNNNNNNNNNNNNNNNNNNNNNNNNNNNNNNNNNNNNNNNNNNNNNNNNNNNNNNNNNNNNNNNNNNNNNNNNNNNNNNNNNNNNNNNNNNNNNNNNNNNNNNNNNNNNNNNNNNNNNNNNNNNNNNNNNNNNNNNNNNNNNNNNNNNNNNNNNNNNNNNNNNNNNNNNNNNNNNNNNNNNNNNNNNNNNNNNNNNNNNNNNNNNNNNNNNNNNNNNNNNNNNNNNNNNNNNNNNNNNNNNNNNNNNNNNNNNNNNNNNNNNNNNNNNNNNNNNNNNNNNNNNNNNNNNNNNNNNNNNNNNNNNNNNNNNNNNNNNNNNNNNNNNNNNNNNNNNNNNNNNNNNNNNNNNNNNNNNNNNNNNNNNNNNNNNNNNNNNNNNNNNNNNNNNNNNNNNNNNNNNNNNNNNNNNNNNNNNNNNNNNNNNNNNNNNNNNNNNNNNNNNNNNNNNNNNNNNNNNNNNNNNNNNNNNNNNNNNNNNNNNNNNNNNNNNNNNNNNNNNNNNNNNNNNNNNNNNNNNNNNNNNNNNNNNNNNNNNNNNNNNNNNNNNNNNNNNNNNNNNNNNNNNNNNNNNNNNNNNNNNNNNNNNNNNNNNNNNNNNNNNNNNNNNNNNNNNNNNNNNNNNNNNNNNNNNNNNNNNNNNNNNNNNNNNNNNNNNNNNNNNNNNNNNNNNNNNNNNNNNNNNNNNNNNNNNNNNNNNNNNNNNNNNNNNNNNNNNNNNNNNNNNNNNNNNNNNNNNNNNNNNNNNNNNNNNNNNNNNNNNNNNNNNNNNNNNNNNNNNNNNNNNNNNNNNNNNNNNNNNNNNNNNNNNNNNNNNNNNNNNNNNNNNNNNNNNNNNNNNNNNNNNNNNNNNNNNNNNNNNNNNNNNNNNNNNNNNNNNNNNNNNNNNNNNNNNNNNNNNNNNNNNNNNNNNNNNNNNNNNNNNNNNNNNNNNNNNNNNNNNNNNNNNNNNNNNNNNNNNNNNNNNNNNNNNNNNNNNNNNNNNNNNNNNNNNNNNNNNNNNNNNNNNNNNNNNNNNNNNNNNNNNNNNNNNNNNNNNNNNNNNNNNNNNNNNNNNNNNNNNNNNNNNNNNNNNNNNNNNNNNNNNNNNNNNNNNNNNNNNNNNNNNNNNNNNNNNNNNNNNNNNNNNNNNNNNNNNNNNNNNNNNNNNNNNNNNNNNNNNNNNNNNNNNNNNNNNNNNNNNNNNNNNNNNNNNNNNNNNNNNNNNNNNNNNNNNNNNNNNNNNNNNNNNNNNNNNNNNNNNNNNNNNNNNNNNNNNNNNNNNNNNNNNNNNNNNNNNNNNNNNNNNNNNNNNNNNNNNNNNNNNNNNNNNNNNNNNNNNNNNNNNNNNNNNNNNNNNNNNNNNNNNNNNNNNNNNNNNNNNNNNNNNNNNNNNNNNNNNNNNNNNNNNNNNNNNNNNNNNNNNNNNNNNNNNNNNNNNNNNNNNNNNNNNNNNNNNNNNNNNNNNNNNNNNNNNNNNNNNNNNNNNNNNNNNNNNNNNNNNNNNNNNNNNNNNNNNNNNNNNNNNNNNNNNNNNNNNNNNNNNNNNNNNNNNNNNNNNNNNNNNNNNNNNNNNNNNNNNNNNNNNNNNNNNNNNNNNNNNNNNNNUCCAAUCGCUUUCCGUUAUGGGGCCCACACAUGGCUGCGCCGUCGUACGAAUAUUCCCCGACAGUACGAAUAUUCCACGACCAAACGAAUAUUCUCCGACAAUAAUGAAUAUUAUAUCACCACUUGCUUAUUUAAAAUAUUUGCGCAUUUUACCCAUAACUAACCACAUUAAUCAAAUCCACCCUUACUAUUUCAAAAUAAUAAAUAAAGGAAAUUCCUUUUUAUUUAAAAAAUUUCGGGGUCUUACAGUAUUGAAUAGUGUGGUCAUAAUCUUUCAACAACUCGAGCCAACGUCGUUGCCGCAUGUUGAGUUUCUUUUGCGUGAAGAAAUAUUUGAGGCUUUUAUGGUCUGAAUAUAUCUCCACUUUCUCCCCAUAUAAAUAGUGCCUCCAUAUUUUUAGCGCGAAAAUGACUGCUGCCAACUCUGGAUCAUGAGUAGGAUAAUUCCUCUCAUAUUCUUUAAGUUGUCGCGAGGCAUAGGCUAUGACUUUCCCAUGUUGAAUGAGAACACAUCCUAACCCUUUGCCUGAAGCAUCACUGUAGAUAACAAAUUCAUCCGAACCAGAUGGUAUUGUUAGAACAGGUGCCGAAAUAAGUCUCCUCUUAAGCUCUUGGAAACUCUUCUCGCAUUCCUCGCUCCAAACGAAUUUUGUAUCCUUCCGAGUUAGCUGAGUUAAUGGAGUAGCAAUUUGAGAAAACCCUUCCAUGAAUCUCCGAUAAUAACCAGCUAAACUCAGAAAGCUACAUAGUUCAGUCACCGUCUUCGGUUGCUCCCAACUUUGUAUUGUUUCAAUCUUCAUCGGGUCAAUAGAUACUCCAUGUUUUGACACCACGUGCCCAAGGAAUGCUACUUCCUCAAGCCAGAACUCGCAUUUCUUCAACUUGAAAUAUAGUUUGUUUUCACGAAGCCUUUGGAGUACCAGCUUCAAAUGGUGCUUAUGAUCUUCACGGGUUUUAGAAUAUAUGAGGAUGUCAUCAAUAAAGACAACAACGAACUGAUCCAAAUAAUCCUUGAAUACUCGGUUCAUCAUAUCCAUUAAAGCCGCAAGAACAUUGGUUAAUCUGAAAGACAUGACUAAGAAUUCAUAAUGCCCGUACCGAGUUCUGAAGGCAGUCUUUGGAAUAUCCUCAGUUCUAAUCUUCAGCUGAUGAUAUCCAGAACGAAGAUCGAUUUUUGAAAAGAAUUGUGCUCCUUGCAACUGGUCAAACAAGUCAUCAAUACGAGGUAGAGGAUACCUAUUCUUGAUGGUGACAUGGUUCAAUUCCCGAUAGUCAAUACAAAGUCGCAUACUCCCGUCUUUCUUCUUUACGAAUAAAACAGGAGCACCCCAAGGAGAUGUACUAGGACGAAUGAAACCGAUGUCCAACAACUCCUGUAGUUGGACCUUUAACUCCUGAAGUUCAAUAGGAGCCAUUCGAUAUGGGGUUUUAGAAAUGGGCUUUGUACCAGGUUCAAGGUCAAUAAAGAAUUCAACUUCACGUUCUGGGGGUAGACCGGGAAGUUCUUCAGGAAAUACGUCAGGAAAGUCAAUAACAACAGGAAUAUUAUUCAAAUUUGACGUGUCUUUAUUCAAAUCCAUAACAUGGGCUAAGAAAGCUUGACAUCCGUUUUUCAAUAAACGAAUAGCUUUAUGAUUAGAUAUGACAGUGAUUGAUUUUAAUGGUUUAGUUGCUUGAAUUCGUACAACAGGUUGUUUAGGAAUAUGAAAGCUAACAACCUUACGAAAAAAGUCAAUUUUGGCAUGAUGAGUAGUUAACCAAUCAAUCCCUAAAAUCACAUCAAAAUCAUGUAUCUUUAAAGAGAUAAGGUCAACAGGUAAGGUGAUGGUGCCAACUUGAAUCAAACAAGAUUUAUAAACAGUGGAUGUGAUGAAAGUUUCUCCUAACGGAGUUUCCACAGAUAGGUCAAAGUCUAAUUUCUCCGGAGUCAAGUUUAAACGUUGAGCACAAGCAGGAGAGAUAAAUGAAUGGAUAUCACCGGUAUCAAGUAAGGUAUAAACUUCGCAAGAAUUUAUAAAUAGUUUAUCCGUGAUCACCUCGUUUGGGUUCCUCGCAUUGUGACCAGUCACAACAAACGCUCUUCCAGGAACCAUUGACUUUGACUUUUCUGGGACAGUCUUUUGAGUCACCGUCCCCGCUGAACUAGGUUUCGCUACCGUACAAUCUCGAGCGAUAUGUCCUUCCUUUCCACAAUUAUAGCAUACUUUGAACUGUUGUGGGCAGUUUGGACUGAUAUGUCCCUCUUUCCCGCAUUUAUAGCAUAUGACCUGUAAGACCCCAAAUAAUUAUUAAAUAAAAUUUAAAUUCCUCUAAUUAUUAUUUUGAAAUAGUAAGGGUUGAUUUGAUUAAUGUGAAUAGUUAUGGGUAAAAUACGUAAAUAUUUCAAAAUAAGCAGGUGAUUAUAAAAUAUUCAUUUGAUCGUGGAAUAUUUUUGCUGUCGGAGAAUAUUCGUACGACGGCGCAGCCUUGUGUGGGCCCCAUAACGGAAAGCAAUUGGAUGAAAAAAAUGACAAGUAUAAGUUAUUUAUAAAUAACGACGUAGUUGUUACUGUUAAUAUUAUUAAAAUACUCGGUGGUUAAAACACAGUAGCACACGGUAUUGCACCAAUUAUUGAUUCUUACGUAAGAAGGCACUACUCAAUAAUGGUUACAGUAAUUACUGUUCAAUUAUUUUAUCUUGUUCAAUAAUUGCUGCAUUGAUAUUUUAUAUUACUGUUGUUUUAAUAAUUGUUAUUAUACAAUAUUUUUUUUUAUUAUCGGAGCAAUAAUUCAUAUUAUCUGAAAAAUAUUAUUGGAUAACAUUAUUGGCAAUGUCUAGAAAGUUCUAUCUAAGGAGAGGUUUGGUCACCUAAUUGCGCGCCAGUAAGGAGAAAUUCUUAUUGGAAAGCCCCCUCUUUCCUGGGAACUGCCUGGUUGUCAAUAUUGUGAUUCUGUAAUAUUAUUUGUGAAUAAUUAAUUAUUGAUUUAUAUGAUGAGAAAAAUAUUGAUUUUAUGUGGAUAUAGAUGGAGAAAAUUUUUAAUGUGACAAUUGUUGAAAAUUAAUAUUUUAUCUUUUUCUGAUAAAAUAAUUCAUUUAAAUAUAUUAUUAUAUUUUUAAUAAUAUAAUAAUGGUGAUAUUUUUUUACAAUGAAUGUGAGAUAUAUGAGUAUACGAGGAGAAAGAGUAUUUUUGUUGCAAUAAAUGUUUAAAAUAUGUUAAACAUGUCUGUGGACCCAUUUAUUGACUGAAAUUUGAUUAUAGCCUGUAAAAUCACCCGUUUAUGAAUUUUGGUCAAUUUAUGUUGGGAAUUUGGAAAAACUCUCUUCUACAAAGUUGUAGAUAAUGGAAUUUCCUAUAAAAAUUCGCGAGAUUCAAAUUUUCUGGCAAAAUGACUAUUUAUUGUGAAUUAUUGAAGUUUCGAAGCUCCGAAAUAAUUAAUAUUUGAAAGUUUUAAAUAUUUUUUUUAAUAAAAACGUUUUUUUCAUUUUUUCUAGAAGAUGAGCAUGUGGGAUAUGUUAGAAAUCUGAUUUUUCAAGGAGGCGUAUGAAAUUUAUUAUUAAUAAUAUAUUUUAAUAAAUUUUUUACUUUGGUAUUCUAAGCAUUUUCCUAUAAAUAGGGUGCUUAGGUUAGAAUUGAAAAUCACACCAGAAACUGAAGUUUUCUCUCUAUAUAUUAUCGAACGUAUUUUUGUGAGUAUUUUGAGUAUACUUUGAGUAUUACUAUACGGUGCAAGUUCAAGUUAUAGCCUAUAUCCGUUAUUCCAGUUAGAAGUACUGUCUUUCCGAGGUAAGGGAUAUUAUUUUUAAAAAAAUAAUAUUAUUUCUUCAAUAUCAUUAUGCCGAAAUAUUGAUGAACUUUUUAAUCAAAUUUGAAACUUUUGAUGUCGGAGUUACUAUUCACGUAUACGGCACUAUUCACGUAUACGACACUAUUCACGAAUACGGCACUAUUCAUCGAAAAAUAAAAAUUUUCCUUUUUCAUCUAAAAUAUCUAUUGUGGAUACUAGCUUUGAUUGUUUUCAUGUUUUGAUCAUUCUUGAAUUUUACAUCACUAUGAUUAUUUUUAAGGUAUUUUUGGACAUGGAUAAAAUAAAGUACGAAUCUUUAAUCCUUAAUCCUUGUCAUUUUGUUUCACUGGAUUCGUUUCUUUAAAAAUAUUUUUCAUCAUCCUCAGUCUUAAAUGAUGAUAUUAUUGAAUAUCUUUGGCCUGUAGUGCAAAGAUGAAUGAUUUCUGAUGAAUAUCUUUG
RNAcentral lists this long non-coding RNA (58888 nucleotides) under Panax ginseng (ginseng). Its description in RNAcentral is "long non-coding RNA (PGIN_LNC009909)". The record is from RNAcentral. Lineage: Eukaryota; Viridiplantae; Streptophyta; Magnoliopsida; Apiales; Araliaceae.